ACAAAAAUAAAAUUAAACCAUUAAUGGUAUUGCAUUUGCAUCCAAGUUCAAUGUUAAGGGCAAAUUCCAAACAUCGUAUAUCACAAUCAGAUAAAUUCAGUUUUGAUGAAAACUGAGGACCCAAAACAACGUUCAUGCUAGAAGCCAUCUAAUGAUGUAAAGUCAUGCCACAAGAUAAAUGUUCAAAUAAGCUAAGGGUAUGUUUGGGAUUGCUAUAGAAUCUGAAGCAAUCAUUUUCCCAUUGGAUUUUGAAAUAAUCAGCUUUGGAAAUAAUUUUCAAAAUGUUUGGUAAAUUUAGAUUAUGAUACAAUCGUUUCUAAAAUAAUUUGUUAAACGUGUUUGAUAAAUCAAUAUUAAAAUUAGAAUGUUUAUAUACAAUGACUAAAAUAUACAAAUCUUGUUAUAUCAUCAAACGAUAUAGAAUCUUUGGUUUUAAUUAAAAUUUUAAAUGUAUUCAUUAAUUACUUAUUAAAAAUAUAUAAUCAAUUUAUCUUUCCAUAAAUAAACUAAUUCAAUAAGUAAAUAUUUGUAUGAAAUAUUAAAAAAAAAAAUUAGAGUUUCCAUUGCCAGCGCCGGUGCCGUCGCUGACGUUCAAAAACAUUUAACGGAAAUUGAUUAAACAGGCACCACCAAUCACAAAUUUCAUACUCUACUCAAUGGUAGAAUUUUCCCCAGUAUCGGAGGUGCAGUGACAGAGAACGCACCACCCUAACUACACGGCCACCAUUAACUUGGCUUUGAAACCACCAUAGUCAUAGUCAAAUGUUGUCGAUCUGUUCAAUGCCAGCGGUGGUGCACCCUAAUUCCUUGUAAUUUGGUGACGGCGUAGUGGUGGCUGGAGUAAUUUCUUAAGCGCGUGCACGGCCAUAAUAUCUCCUAAGAAGUUUGUUUGAUGAAUGCCAGUGAUGACGCCGAACAUCACCAGUAUUUUUUAUUUUAUUUUGUUUUGUUAAAUUUGAAAAUGAUUAGAAAUAAAAAUAAUUAGUUAUAUUAUUUUCAAUUUCCAGACAAUUUUGAAAAUAUAUAAUUAAAGUAAGAUAAUUUAGGUAUGAAAUAUUACAAAAUCAGAUUCCUAAAAAUUUAGACUUUUAGAGGCUACUUUCAUAAGCUUUCAUAAUCUAAUUAUUUGAUAAUUAGAUUUUCAAACAAUUCAUUUUUGAAAGUGUUUAUCAAACACUUUUUAGAUGUUAAAGUGUUCGAUUAUUUGACAACCUAAAGCAAUCUCAAACAUGCUCUAAAUGAACAAGGAAGCUAAACGUACAAACUACAUUUUCCAAGCUGAAGAAGACAGUCAUGAGCAAUUCUCCAAUUUGAUCAAUAAAACAAGCUACAACAUUGCUUUGGAGGGCUCAGAUCCUUGUACAGUUAUUUUCUAGCUACUCAUUGCAUUCAUUUCAAAAGGGCACGAUGGUUGCAACCAUUUGUUCCUAAUAAAAAAUCAGCAAACAGCAGAAUACAUGCCAAAACACUACUAAAGACCAAAAGUAAUUAUCAAAGCAUUUUUACAGCCUAAAUUACUACUCGCAAGAGUUUCCCAUAGUUGAUUGCUAAAACUAAAUAAUGUCUUUAUAAUGAUCCAGAAUUUGCCAAAACGCAACGUACUGACUUAAAACAAUAGAUUGCAGAUGCCAACAAUUCAAGUAAAUUUAAGUCCUUCAUGAAUAACGGUAGUGUACUAACUGAGAGUUUUUACCUUGGUUUAGAAAUUAUUUUCAAUUUCCAGAUAAUUUUGAAAAUAUAUAAUUAAAGUAAGAUAAUAAUUAGUUAUAUUAUUUUCAAUUUCCAGAUAAUUUUGAAAAUAUAUAAUUAAAGUAAGAUAAUUUAGGUAUGAAAUAUUACAAAAUCAGAUUCCUAAAAAUUUAGACUUUUAGAAGCAACUUUCAUAAGCUUUUAGAAGCAACUUUCAUAAGCUUGUAGAAGCUACUUUCAUAAGCUUUCAUAAUCUAAUUAUUUGAUAAUUAGAUUUUCAAAAAAUUAAUUUUUUAAAGUGUUUAUCAAACACUUUUUGGAUGUUAAAGUGUUCGAUUAUUUGACAACCUAAAGCAAUCUCAAACAUGCUCUAAAUGAACAAGCCAGCUAAAGGUACAAACUACAUUUUCUAAGCUGAAGAAGACGGUCAUGAGCAAUUCUCCAAUUUGAUCAAUAAAACAAGCUACAGCAUUGCUUUGGAGGGCUCAGAUCCUCGUACAGUUAGUUUCUAGCUAUUCAUUGCAUUCAUUUCAAAAGGGCACGAUGGUUGCAACCGUUUGUUCCUAAUAAAAUAUCAGCAAACAGCAGAAUACAUGCCAAGACACUACUAAAGACUAAAAGUAAUUAUCGAAGCAUUUUUACAGCCUAAAUUACUACUCGCAAGAGUUUCCCAUAGUUGAUUGCUAAAACUAAAUAAUGUCUUUAUAAUGAUCCACGAUUUACCAAAACGCAACGUACUGACUUAAAACAAUUGAUUGCAGAUGUCAACAAUUCAAGUAAAUUUAAGUCCUUCAUGAAUAACAGUAGUGUACCAACUGAGAGUUUUUACCUUGGUUUGGAAAUCGACUUGAUUAGAAGCAGCCUUGUAGACGUUGUCCACAACCUGUUUGAAAGUAUUCUUGAGAGAAAGUGACUUAUCAAUCCAAACACCAUUGGCCACGGACAAGCGGGGCCCGCCGCUAGGACUUCCGUCGGCAAAAACGACGGCGACGAGUUCGGAGGCGAAGGUGUUAAGUUGGUCGUCGGAUUUGGACUUGAGAAAAGAGAGCAACUGGUCGAGAGUGGGGCCCUUGGAUCCAGCCGAGAUCAGGCUCAGCAGAACGUGGAUCGAUGACGGCGAGAAGACGAGGUUCGAGUCUUUAGCUUCGGUUAGGGCAACGUGCUUUGUUAGAGACAAAGCGACGUCGGUUUGGUUGCUGAUUGAUUCGCGUACGUCCAUGCUCUGCAAACUACUCUCUCUGGAAACGAUGAAGAAACGGACUGACAAGUUUUAGAUAAUUAACUAAAAUGCAGAAACGGAGUCAAAUAACGCGAUCGUAAGACGACGUCUGAUUUUUGGUGACGUGGAUUUCAAAAGGCCGGUUCCCGCGGAUGAGAGACUACACGUCUACACGUAUUCUGUUGGCUUCUCUCUCAUCUCCGUGUCCAAAGAGUUUGCGUAGUAACUAAGCUUACUACGGUGGGCCUUGUUGGUUAAGGGCUUGAUGGCUGGCGAAUGCUUUGGGCUUUUCUUUUUAACUCAAAGAACAACCCCCUUUGUGUGCAAAACUAAUGAAGCUCCGUAUUUAAUCUAAUCAAGCCCCAUUGCUAAUAAGACUGGUGCCAUUGGCACACCCCUAAUUUCCUCAGAAAAUUUAGGGCCCGUUUGGUAUCGUUUUUGGGCCAGUGUUUUCAUUUUUAUUUUCGGAGUACUGAUAUAAUACAUGUUUGGUGGGCUGAAUCCAAAAAUAAAUUACAAAAUAAGAAAUCCAAAUCUACUUUUUAUAACUAGCAAAGCAAAAACAUGUUUAACAUGUUCUCUACUUAUUACAAAACCAAACUAAAAAAUAAAUCAAAAAACAAAAGCCAACCAAAAAUCUCGUUCACCAACAACUCAAAGGGCUCUCUCUCCCUCAUUUCCUGAUCUACUCACAACGAAGCUGACUCACGGUGCUCUCUCUACCUCCUUUCUUGAUCUGCUCACAACGAAACUCUCUCUCUCACUCUCCUUAUCUUCGCUGAUCUACACACAACAACAAGCUUUCUGUCCUUUUCUCGCCAGAUCUGCUCUCUCUCUAUGUGCCCAUCUCGGUUGAUGCAUUUUAUCUCCGGUGCCGUUGCUGCUUCAUCUCGAUCGACGUCGUUGCUGGUUCAUCUCCGUCGCCGCUGGUGCGCCAUCUCGCCGCAACCACUGCUGCUCCAUCCAACUACCUCGACUGCUUUUGCCCUCUCGGCUCCAUCUUUGUUAUGUGAGUUGCUGAUAUUUUUCUUUUUUAAGGCUUGCAUACAACCGAAUUUUUUAUCCAUUGGUUUUUAAUUUGCUUGGGAAAAUGGUGAAUGUUGAGAAUCUUUGUGUUUGCUAGUAAUUUUUUGUAUCAUUCCCCUUCUUUCUAAUAUUUAAUAAUUAUUUUCUAUUUGGUAAAUAUGAUUUUGUUGGCAUGAGAUUGAUUAAGUUGGUGUUAGUAUAAGAAAAUUGUCCAGUUAAAUUGGAUGUUGGCAAACUGCUACCGUGAAUUAUAUUCGAUGGGUAAUUAUAUUUUUAAAAUGUGAAUUAAUUUUUUUAAAAUGUGGUUUGCUGUUUUGUUGCCGAUACACAUGUUCAGUUUGUUCUGUCACUCCAUGAAUACCAUUUUGACAUGAAUUUGUGUUAUUAAAAAAAGAAAAUGAUUUUUAUAUGUUAGCUUUUUUUCUCAGCCAAGUUGGAAAGAUCAAUAUGUUGGCCUGGGAAUUGCCGUCAGAAAUCAUAAGGGAGAAUUUGUAGCUGCUGCUGUAAAGAAAUCCAAUUUUAAUGGCAAUGUAGCAAUCUGCAGAAGCCGAGGCAGUUGAUUGGGGUCUGGAAAUUGCAAAAAAUGCAGCAUGUGUCCCUCUAAUUGUAGAGUCUGAUUGCAGCUUCUAUGUGGCAUGACUACACACGUUUACCACGUAAUUUUUUAUAAUUAUUUUGUUUAAAUAAUGUAUUGUAAUAUAUAUCUUAAUUAUAAUGUAAAAACAAUGAUAAUGUAAUUUUUUUUAUUAAUGCUAAAACUAAAACUUUAUCAUCAUGUAAUUUUUUAUAAUAAUUUUGUUUAAAUUAUUAUGGUAUAUUUGUGUAUGUAUUAGUUAAACAAUUAUUUUCUAACAAUAAACAUGACUUAAAUGCUUAGUCGAAAUUAUUUUUGAAAAAGGUACUACCAAACGCAUAUUCUCUGUUUUUAUCAUUGUCAAUUGUGUCUACCAAACGCAUAUUACUGUUUUCAGUUUUAAAAUACAGGAUAUAAAAAAUAAUACCAAACGCAUAUUUAAAUUCAAAAUACAGUAACUGCAAAACACCAUUUUCAUUUUUAUUUUUAUUCUCAGAAAAUACAAAUUCAGAAACAAUACCAAACAGGCCCUUAAUUUUUUACCGCACCUCCAAAAUUAAUCGUUGAAUGGAAAAUAAUUUUGAAACCUCAAUUUAAUUUCGAAAUAAUAAGAUUGGUUUUGGUGGAUAUAAUAUUACAACAAUUUACUGAUUAUAAUAAGAGGUUCAACAAGAGUACAUAUUUCCUUGUAUUGUAGUACGGUUUUUUACCAUUUUAUUGUGAAAUGUAAACCCCUCUCUUUAAAGAAGAAUUGGUGACAGGUUUUGAGAAAUUUCCAUGUUAUUGAGAGUGAAGUGACGUUGUGACAGGUUGAUUUAGGUUGGUUCAUAGGAUGAAUAGGGUUCGGAUGUGAGUUUAGGUGUAUAAUAUAAUUUAUGGUGUAUAUAAUAAAUCUAUAUUUUAAAAAGAUGUGAUUGAUCGCACUAGAGAAAUAUUAUAUAUAAUGUCAAUUAAGUAUGCACCUUCACACACGUUAUUAUGUGCAAUAGGCCACGUUUUACUUGAUCAUUGAUUGGCAUCUCACAACCCAACCACUGAUCAGGUAGCACGUGGUUUGUUAUUGUACACAAUAGUGCACUUGAUCAAAUUCGUAUACAUAUAAGUAAUUAUCUAGUACAAGAACUUCGAUUUUAUUAAAGUUGAGGAAAGUUAUUAUUACACCAUAUGAUGUAAAUAUUUUUUUAAACUUAUAACAAAUUUCAGGAUCUAGAUAAAAUAAUAUAUAUGUAUAUGUAAAUGUUUUAGUUAUCUUGAAAUAUGUAAAAUGAAUAAUUUAACAAACUAAUUUACGAGAUUAUUUAAAUCUUGCAAUAAAAUGUUUAUAGUUUAAUGGUAAGAGAUCUAAUUUAUGGUUUCUCCUACACUUUGGUGUUUUUUUUUUUUAAGAAAAAAAAAAAACUUAACCAAAAUUUUAUGUAAGUCACUUGCUAGUUUCUCUUGUGCAUGUGACGUUCUCCUAUUCUGCAAACAUAUUCUUAUGAUUUACGGACUUUUUUAGACAAAGGGCAGAGUGUGGUUUGCUUCGAAACGGUUGUCUAUACUCUGCGUAGUAACACUGAUUUGAAGUCCUUGGAAUCAAAAUAUCUAUUAAACUAACUCAUUUUGGGUCUUCUUACAACUAUAUGCUAAUUAUUUACAUUAUUAAUUUCCAAUAAAUUGAAACGGAUUAAUAAGCUUGUAUCCCUGGAGGCCAUCAAAUUUCCAUUAGAUUUUUCUUUUUGUUUUUGACCACGAGGUAUCAUGGGGAAGGCCCCAACUGUGGGAGACACUUUUAAGCCCGUACCACAAUCCAGACUAGAAGUCCCCGCUCGAACCGAGAGGCACAGGUUCUCCCAACAAAUGCGACUUCCCUGCGACUCGAACUGAUGAGCAAAUCCAGUCAAGCCACUUAAGGGGACUCCAUUGCCAGUGGAGCCAACACUUUGUUGGUAAAUUUCCAUUAGAUUGACAAACAAAGGACUUCAAAAUAUCUUAAACAGAUUUAAGCCCCCUUUUUCAAUUAAAUGAAAAACAUGCUAAAGUUGGAUUCAAUAUGUUGUUGCUUGCCGAAACACAAAUGUUAAAAUAUUUUAAUGUGAUGUUAACACCUGAAACCAUUUGCCAUAAGUUUAAAGUAGAGUUAUUUAUAUCAAGAGUAAUGAUAGACAUCCCUAAGUUUUUAUCAUAAAUUCCAUCUCAAAUGAUAUGUUAUUUAUUAAUUAGUUAAUUUUUUUUACAAGAUUUAAGUGAAUUAAUUAUAUUAUCCUCACCAACUAAUUAAUUAAUGCUACGUCAUGUGGGAUAAUUUUUAGGAUAAAAAAAUUAAAAUACGCAGCACUACUCUUUCACUCUUCAUUCUUUAAUUUUUCUUUAUAUAAUACACUCAUUUUACACAGGGGCGAAGCUAUGAAGGACGACUUUGUUUAUUAUCGAGAGGAUUGAGAACAUGACCAAUGACAGCACCACUCCAGUCGCAUCUUCUCUGAUCAUGAAUAUAAAGGGGUGGUCAGCCACAAAAUCUAUCUUAUCAAAGCGAGGCAGUGACUUCAACGUUAUGACAGCAGCAGAAGCAGCUGCAGCUUCAGUCCCCUCUUCCUUAACUUCUAUGAACGACUUUUGAAAGAUACCUGAAAAAUACAGGUUCUCACCCACACCCACAUGGGAAUCCACCAUCUCUGUCAAACGACCUCCUUUUCUAGAAAAAGACAGCACCAAUCCUAAUGCUUUGAGGACUCUAGAAACUUCGAUUCCAAAAGAGAUCUUAAACCUUGGAAUCCUGAAGUCACCCACUUCGAUCAUCUCAUAUGGAAUGUGAUCUUUUAAGAACCCAGAUUGAGAACCCGUCUUCUUUUCCAAAGCUGGCAACUCAUCUUUUUCAUCCGGUAGAAACAAUUAUGAAACGACAGUUAUCCUCACCUUGUUUGUAAGGCAGCACGAGAACUUUGAAACCAUCGAAGGCAGUGACAAGUUGCUUAUUCUUGCUGGUCAUGAAAGGCACUUUAAUUGAUCCUCCAUUUAGAAGGUGAAAAUCGUAUUCUUUUGUUUUUGAAGAAUCGAAUGCUUCAUUCCAAACUCCUUUGAAGUAGAGUGCAUUCGCAAAAACAAGCUUGCUUGAAUCAUCAACUGACCCAGGAGGAAGAACCUCUUUAAUAAAGCCAUUGGUCUCCUUCUCAGCCCAAAAAUUUAUUUCUCUGGACACUUCAACAGCCUUAUUUAAGGAUGCCAUCAACAUGAAGAGCAUGCAUCACAUCAUCAAUAUCAGUGCUAAAAGAUCAAACGUAUUGUAACACCACUUGUUGUAGCAACUAAAUAAAUACUUAAAAGCGCGAGUAUUUGAGGAUGCCAUCAACAUGACAAGCAUCACAUCAUCAGUAUCAGUGCUAAAAGAUCAAGCUUAUCGUAACACAACUUGUUAGAGCAACUAGUAUGAGGUGCUUCAAAUUUAUGAUGAUGGAGCAGAAAGAUAAAGCAUGAACUCUUAAUAUAGUAAGAGAUAAAAAAUAUUGUGUUGAAAUCCGUAUUUUUCUUAUCUUUUAAUUUCAUCACAUUUAAAUUUUUUGUGGACAUCCACAAGUGAGUAGGAUUAUUUACAUUUUCAUUUUUAUUAUGAGAUUAAAUAAGUACUUAUGACCAUUAAAUAAGUCGUACCAAACAAGCACUUAAACUCAAGUGGAUAUCCGCAUGUAAGCACCACUUUAUACAUAUGUUUAAAAUUUUUUAACAAAUUAAUACUAUACUACAUGUAUAGAGCGAUUCAUGUUUCUGUAAUGCCAAUUCCAUCUAAAUUAUUUUUCAAUAAUACACCAAACAUAUAAUUUUCACCUUGUUUUGGAAAUCGACUUGAUGAGAAGAAGCCUUGUAGAUGUUGUCCACAGUUUGUUUAAAAGUAUUCUUGAAAGAGAGUGACUGAUCAAUCCAAACACCAUUCGCUACAGACAAGCGGGGCCCGCCAUUAGCACUUCCGUCCGCGAAGACGAUGGCGACUAGUUCGGAGGCGAAGUUCUGCUGUUCAUUGGACUUGGACUUAAGAAAGGAGAGCAGUUGUUGGAGGGUGGGGCCUUUAGAUCCCGCCGCGAUCAUGCUCAGCAACACGUGGAUUGAUAACGGCGAGGAAGACGAGGUUGGAGCCUUUAUCUUCGGUUAGAGCCACGUGCUUUGAUAGAGACAAAGUAAUGUCGGUUUGCUCGCUGAUUGAUUCGAGUACGUCGUCCAUGGCUUCGCUGUUCGUGAACUACUAGUACUAUUGUUACUAGUACAUUACUACCCUUACGCUAUAUGUAAGAAUCGUUGACGGGCUUUGUAUACAUUUAGUCCGAACUGCGUGCGACUCUUGUACUGGUUUUGAAAGUAUUAAACCUUAUAUAUGAGACAACGUGGAUUUCGGAUAUACAAGUGUUCUGGUUUUGUUGGCUAAUGUCAUUUCAUCUCCGUGCUAGGUAUGAAAAGUUUGCGUUGGAAUUAAGCUUUAGGGUUGAGACUUCUUUAAUAUUUAAGCUCUACUUUUUAAUAAUGUUAUCUUGCUUUAGAGUUAGUGGGCAUAUAUAUAUAUAUAUAUAUAUAUAUAUAUUCUGUUCUUAACUCUUAUCAUCCAAGCAACAAGGAGUCAAGGAUCUCAUUUUUUAAUAUAUGUCGAUUUCGUCCCUUUACCUGCUGUUUUCUGAAGUAUUUACUCUUUCACACGAUAGAAUGAUAUAUUUGCUCACUCCAAUAUCCAAAAUCUCAUUUUGCAAAAUGCUGUGAUGGAAUCAGUCCGGUGGCUAAAAAUUACGAUCUGACUACUUCUCCAGAUAUUCUAAAAAUCUUAAUUAUAGCAUGUCUUUCUAAUGACAUUGUAGGAUUAAUUUUUAAUUACUUUAAAAAAAUUUCAUUCUUCCUCCACGGUUUUUACAGUUACUUCCAUGCAGGCCAAGAAGAUUAACUAACAUAACGCCACCCGCAAAUCAAAUGAAAUCAAAUAGUUAUUGCAGUCAAUAUCAUUCAAUUCUCUCAUUCAUUCAAGUUCAACUGUUUAAGUGCAUGUAGACAGUAUACACACAAAGACCACCUCAAUCCUCAUACAUGGUAGCUGCAUUAAUUCUCCCUUUCUCAUGGAUAAAUAUAUAAAGAAAGGAAAUGAAAACAGUGAAUUUUCCAACUACAUAUCAAAUUAAUAUAUAGCUGGUUAAUUAAGGUCAAAUUAGAAUUAUGAUUAUUUUUUUCUCUCCUGGGAGAGUUGUUAAAUCCUAAAGUCGACAUCUGGAAGUCAUGCUUACAGUGCUAGAGCUGUAAUUUGUACGUAGGUUUAGGAAUCGGCCACUAACCUUGUUUUUGGUCAUUAUAUGAUUAACUUAAUUUGUAACUAAAGUUGGUUGGUGUGAGUGAUUCGGCACUCUCACUUCUUAAGAGAGGUCAGGGGUUCAAGCCCCGCUCUCGUAUGGAGUCACCACUUUGGCCAGCACUUUACUCCUUAUGGGCCGACCCAGUGCGAGCGGGGAUUAGUCUGGGUUGUGGUACGAGCUUAAAAGUACCUCCCACAAUUGGGGCUCACUCAGGACCACCUCGUGGUUCAAACCAAAAAAAAAAAUUAACUUAAUUUGUGAUGCUAAUUACAUUUAAUUGGCCACAAGUCAGUGGGUCCAAUAAAUUGAAAAGGAUGCUAAUCAUUCUUUUCUAUAAUGACAAAAACGAUGAGGAGGCUAAAACACAAAAGACACCCCUCCACCUCCAGGAAGAGACUGAAGAAAAAGUGAUACCCCCAAGCGUUCUAGAUGGUCGCAUGACGUUUUACAUUUUUUCUUUUUCUUUUUUUAAUGGUAAUUUUUAUAUUGAAGGUUCCGAAAAAAGCCUCCAAUGAUCAGGGAUUCAAAUGAUUAUAGAUAGCAAGCUACGAUGUCGAUUCAUUGUUCUUGAAUCUUCACAAAUUGGACUCGAGUAAGUACCUACAAUAGGUGUUCUGAUGCUUUCAUCAGUAUUCAUCAGUAAGUAUCCAUACCAUAAAUUCCAGUGGAAGGAUCAUUCUUGAUUCCAAGAUCAAUAUGCUCUGGAAUACCAAAGCCAAAACAGCCAGUGUCACUGAAAUUCCGACGCAGAAGCUCAUAUUCCUUCACCUUCAAUCCACUCUCCAAAAGCUGCAUUGCCUUGUCACCUCUAACAGUCACAUAGCAUGCAAUCUUCUCAUUACGUCUGCUCCCAACAGACCGAACAGUGUACCUGGCCUUGGAGAAAAAAGGUGUCUGUCCGCUGAGUUGCUCCAGCACCUUAGAGGCUCUGGUGAGACGAUCUCCACUUUCACCAACGGAGAUGUUGAGCACAAGCUUCUGAACUUUAAUUUCCUUCAUGGGGUUCGAAAGUUUCUUCUCUGAAGCCAUUCUGGUUUGCUGAUAAUGAGUUGCUGCCGCUGCUCAGUGAAGACGGAGACGGAACAAACUCUAACAUGUAUUACUUAUUGUUGAUAUUUUGGGGUUUGGCCAUUAUUUGUCUCUGAAUUUUUGUAUAAGUUAACGUAUGGUUAUUGAUUUCUUGCAUGGAUCAUCAUGAGAAAUAUCCAUUCUAUAUUUUUUGGAUACUUACAUAUAUAAAUGUCAAAAAGUAAUAAAUAGAGGAGAAAGAUUAUAAAAGCAUCUAAGCAUCGCGAACAAGAGAUUAAGUACAAUAUGCGAAGACAUCAUUUUAACAAAUGUUGAUUUACCUUUCGCUAGACUCGCAUUAAUUAAUUUCCGACGACCAACUUUACUUUUCAGAAUUUCCAUUAAUAAGGAUUUCCUUCUUUUCUUAAAUUUGAAUAAAAGGCAACAACCGUAUUACAGCUUCACCAUUUGAAGUUAACAGUUAUUAUAUAUUAUUGACUCAAACCCUAAAAAUUAAAUGAGCAUUUACCUUAUAAGAGUACCAAAUUGAUGAUAACGUCCUCAAAUUUCCUCAAGGAUCAUUUAUUAAACGGUUAUACAGGAUUCUUUUAGGGUGAAGAAGUAUGUUAAAAUGGAAACGAUAUAUGCUCUUGUUGUGAGAUGACGGACUCAGUCGGUCAGUCCAUUUAUGCAAAAGCAAAUGCAUUUGAUUUGCAUUUAGCUGAAAAAUUAAUUGUUGAAUGCUAAUGCUUCAUUUUUUUAUUAGUUACUUCCACGUGUCCCAUGACUAAUGCAAGACACAAGAAGCUUUACUCCUAAAUAGAGACAAAAAGUCAGUAGCUAUUCGCCUAUUCUGGUGCUUUAAUCCCAAUUAUGAGAUUAGAAGGAGCACUCGAUCUAUGAAAAUUUUUAAAAUACCUUAGAUAUAUUACAAUCAAUUUAGAUAUAUUACAAUCAAUUGAUACAUGCAUGAUAUGUGUAGUUGAAUUUAAUACAACCACCACUUGUAUGAUAGUUUUUCAAAUAAAUACACACAUGUCAUAACAUUAUUUUUUUGUUGUAUGACUGACAUGAUACUUCAAAUGUAUUCUAGAAUUAAUCAUCGAUCUAUUCCAAGACAUGUUGCUAAUGUAACGCCUGUUACCGACUAUCAGAAUAAGUCAUGUUGCUAAUGUAACGCCUGUUACCAACUAUCAGAAUAAGUCAAUAAGAUAUUGACUUAAUUAUUUUUUAAUUAAACAUAAAGCCGCCCACAAAUCAAAUUCUUGCAACCCGAAAGCAUAGUACCAACUCACAACAUGAAAGCAGCAAAAUUGUCAUUCAGUGCUCUUAUUCAUUUUAAGUGCAUGCACAAAGACCACCUCAUGCGCGGUAGUUACAUUCGCUCUUUCUCAAGGAAAUAUAUAUAUAAGAAAUGAACAGUUUUCAAUAUAUAUAUAUAUAUAUAGCUGGUUAGUGUCAAAUUAAAUCAGGCUUAUUCUUUUCUCUCUUGGUCGGGGGAGUUGGUAAAACUUAUUACCCAAAUUCGGCUUCUGCAUGUCAUGCAUGCUUGCAGUAAUAGUCCUGUAAAUGUAGGUCUAGGCAUCGGCCAGCAACCUUAUUUUUGGCCAUUAUAUAUAGGAAUAAUUUUAAUUAAUGAUCAAUGCUAAUUACAUUUAAUUGGGCACAAAUCAGUACGUCCAAUAAAUUGAAAUGAGUGCCAAUCCUUCUUUUUGAUGAUGACAUGCAAAAAAGAUGAGAAGGCUUAAAAAACAAAUGAUAACCGUCUAUUAGUAAGAGACAGAAGCGAAAUCCCAAAGAGUUCUAGAUGAUCACAAGAUGACUUUUUACAUUUCCCCCCCUUUUUUUAUGGAAAUUUGCAGUUUAAGGACAAGCACAAUAGGCCAGAACACAAUUUUCAUACAGUGGUUUAUUUACCUCAUAAUAAGCUUGCAUUCUGAAGACGAGCUUAUUUUAUUACAGGAUUUUCUUCAAGCUUCUAUAAGAUAUUUCCACUAGGCUCGUUGACAAGGACUUUAAAAUAUCUUAAAACAGAUUUCCUUUUUCUUUUUGCAUAAAUAAAGCAAUUUAUCUUUCUAAACAUACAUCGUCCAAGUAUCUUGUAACCUACAUUCGAUAAAAACGAACUAUAAUUAAAGUUUUCAAUAUUCACAUUCAUUUGUCUUAUAUAUUUCAUCUUAAGUACUCAUUAAUAGCUAAACGCGCUUGUUUAGGGCUCCUUUGGAAUUGCUUUUGGGAGUUUAAAAAAAUCAAAAUUAAUAUUGUCAAAAUCAAUCAUUUCUACAACUAAUUUUGAAAAAGAAGGAAGGAGUAGCUUUUAGAUUCGGAUUUUGAGAAUAAAUUUUAUCCUUUAAUGCAAUUCCAUAAAUAUCCUUAAAAUUAUUACCUAAACCCAAAAUUAUCCUUAUUCAAAAUGGAAACAAAAUCAAUAUUUUUAAUAUCCUUGCAAUAACUAGGGAUACCAAUGGACACUGCCCGUUGCAAGUUUGACUAUACCAAACCCUCACCAACACAAAAUUUAAAUUAUCAAACCCACUUGCUACUUGUUGUGAGUUUUAAUUUUUUUAAGAAAACACACCUGCAACGGUUUUUGACGAUUACCAAACCCACGAUGGCACCCAACAAAUUUUUUGCAGGCUUCGACAUUUAAAAUCACAAUUACUCAACAUGUAAAUUUAAGCUAGUCGAAAGUACAAAAUUAUCCAUGCUGAUUUUAAACAAGCUGAAUAGAUAACUGUGCAUAUAUCAUCACACAAUUUUGAAAUGUAAUCAAAUACCACAAAAUUGAUGAAAAUAAUAGAUUAAUAGCAGCAGAUAAUGAAAACAAUACCUUCCACGACCACAAUGGAUGAAAAUAGCUACAAUACGAGAAGAUGGCAGCUGUAACGACAAUGACGGAGACGGUAGUGAUGGUUAUAGAAUCAGCAGUAGAGGCAACAACAAUAACAACAAUAGUGGCAAAAUGAAUGGUGGUGGCUGCUGCAAAAUCAAUGGUCGCUGCGGUGGCUGCAACAACACAACGCAAUUAUCGGUGGAGAAAGGAGUUGGGCGCUGACUGUUUGGAUUGAGAAGGGAGUUGGGCAGCAAGAUAGUUGUGCGACUCAUGGUCACGGCUAAAGGUAGAUGACAGAUUGGUUUCCUUUAGUUUACAUUAGAUGAGGGAUCAGCUAAAGAAGUAGAUGGACUUUAGGGCUUACACGUUGUAGCUGCACGCAUGUUUACACAAUUUAUAUAUUUUUAGGCUUAAUUUUUUUAAUUAAAACUUGAAAAAUAUUUCAAAGAAAAGUGGGGGUUUAGCGGAUAUUCAUGCGAGUAUUCACCGAAUAUUUAGUAAAUACCAAACCCACCUGCAAAGUGCAACCUAACAUGGGUUUUGAUUUGUGAUACCAAACUUGCUCGUAAUGGCAAAAUUACACGAUCAUGUUUUGGCGGGUGGGUUUGAGUAAGUUUGCGGGUACCAUUGUCAUUCAUAGCAACAAUCUUACCAAUAAUUGUAUGAACAAAUUUAAUUUACCAAAUUAUUCCUAAAAGUAAAAUAAUAAAAAAUUUACAUUAAUUAUUAUUUUUGAAGGCUAAUUUGAUGAAUUGAUAUUUUUUCUUUUUAUUAAUAUCUUAAGAAUAUUAUUCUAAGAGUAUUAUUAUAAAAGGAAAGAAAAAGUAAUAUAUGGAGUUAUUUUUUUUAAAUAUAAAAAUUAAAUAAACUUUUAAAUCAAAAUAUAAGAACGAAACAGUAUUUACCCGAUUAAAUCUGACAAUUUUUUUGAGAAUAAAGUUUGUUUUAACUUUACAAUAAAAAGCGAAAUGUGACAUGUCCAUGGCAGAUAACUGAUUAGGCUGAGAUGGGCUGCCCAACGACCAUACGCGAUAGCGAACAAGUACGUGUCAUGAACUCCUGCACAACUCGCGUCAAUUUAGUGAUUUAAGCCACUAAAAUAAUGAAUACGAUAUUCUAAUUAAUUAUUCCCAAAGUUGAAGCCAAUUUAUUUUUUUAUAAUAAUAAUAAUACAACACAAACAUAGGAAUCUAUAAUUAAAAAAGAAAAGAAAAGAAAAACUAGAGCAAAUUAAUAAAUAAUAGACCUCACAGAAGUACGCCUCCAGAUGUUACAUUUUAUGCAAAUAAAUCACAAUAAAAUGUCCCCUAUAUGCGACUAUUUAUUACAAAAAUGCUUAAGAAUUUUAAUGCCCGGCCAAAAAUCUUACUCAUCAAGAGGUUGACAUUACAAUUAUAUUAGCCAACUAACGGAGAAUUGCUAGCAACAAUGGCUCAUUUGAGCAGCCGACACGUCUCCUUUUUUGUUGUUUGUGCAAGUUAACUAGGUCUAUGUAAACAUCCGUGGGUUAAUUGUAAGUUUACUUCAGAAUUGUCAUUCACUUAAGUGUUCCAGUUGAUAAUAGAGAAGUUUCACGACAAUACUAGUCCCUUAACAGAAUAAUUAGAAAACAUAAAUAACUAAUUAACAUUCCAUUGCCAAAUUGCCACUGCAGCUUGAAGGCAAAUGAAAGAGAAAGUUAAAAUAAUCUAAAAAUACCAGCCAAUUUCAUCUCUUGUGACCAUAAAGUGUUCCAAUCUGUCAGGGAUAAUUAAGCUUUUGGCUGGCAACGAUAUUGAAAAAAAGCUUCUAUCUGAAUCAAUGCCGUUGACAGCAAUUACCAUAUAUGCUCCCAUUAGUCACAUAUGAAUCUAACCCUGAACAAGAAGGAUUGCCAGUUAAUUCAAUGAUAUACUACUAACACCACCACCCCUGGGCUCACCGUAACAGAGUGAAGCAGAAACAUGCUUGGAUUGUUAUAAUUAAUUAGCAUUUAUUUAUAUAUAUAUAUAGGUCAACUUAACAAAAAUCAAGAAAGUCAAAAAAAGACAUUAGAUAAUUAAUCUGUUGAGGGGAUAGCAGGACAAGGAGGUGGGGUGUCUGAAAAUACAAAAUUAUAAAUUAAUCGGACCCACAAAUUAAGUUUAUUUCAAAGACAUGUAGUAGCUAGAUGAAGACGCCAUUUGAUUCCUUUCCGUUGUUCUUGUCGGUACAUGUGAUUAUGCAAUUAUUUGGCGUCUUUAUAAAGUGGGAGGGGUAUUCAGUUUCAGUAUAUUGCUAGCUAGCGACAACCAAACAGCCACCAUUUGUUCCUUUCUUCUAGCUCCGUGGCGUAAAAAGAGACAAAGAUAUAUACCUCUCAUCAGUACAAUGGUAAUUAACGUUACAGAACCCCCAUAAACUCUCUCAAUAUGCAAUGAUCUCGUUCCAUGCAUGUGUCAUGAGAACAUGCCGCUUCACUAAAGUUUUUCUUUUUGUGUGACAAAAAUUAACAGGGCAGCAGCAGCAAAGAUGAUCACAAAGCACAGCCUAAGCAGGAACGUAGGCUUGGAGGAAGUAGAGCUGUUCUUUUUGUAUACGGUAAAUAAAUAUGCAAGUCCAAUAUUUAAGCUUCUGCCGGCUUUGGAAACCUUAGAAAUUUGGCUUUUUUUAAUUUACAUUCGUUAUCUUGUAUUAGCCAGUUUGUCAAUAAAUGAAGUUUAGUGUCUAAUUGUGAAUCAAUUAAUGUAUACAUGUGUAUAUAUAUACACACAGCAAUGGAGGGACUUGAGAGUAUGUCGUUCGUGGCGAAUAUGGUGAGCCUGGUAACAUAUUUCCACGGAUAUAUGAAUUUCAGUUUAACAAAAUCUGCCACCACUCUUACCAACUUCACGGGAACAGCAUUUCUACUGGCACUCUUCGGUGGGUUUAUCUCUGAUACCUACUUGUCAAGAUUCAAGACUUGCGUCCUCUUUGGAUGCAUUGAGUUGUUGGUACGUAAUGUCUCUUACUGAUAAUCUUCCCUCACUCAAUUUGUUGAUUUCCUAUAAGCUCCUCAAAUUGUGGCUCUUAAUUCUUGAUAUUGAUCCGUUACUGAAAUGAUAGUCCUUGUUUUUAUUGAAAACAAUAUUGUAUCGACGAGUGAGUUACUUUGUACGAUGCUUCUACCGUCAUAUAUAAAUAUAAAUAACGUACUUGCAUGCGCUCAUAUCAUAUCACCUACCGUUUAGAUAAAUAUAUUUGUUUAAUAAAAAUCCACCUAAUGAUUUGUCCCCAAUCUGACCAUCUGAGCAUGAUUUAUUUAGCAGGUAGCUAGUGAGAUUAGCAAUGGUUAAUGACGCCUAGCCCUAAUUUACAAAAUAUAUAUUUGAUGACUAUGGGAACUUAGCACAAGUUAUCGUUCACUUGACUCCAACUUUGCACAACAGCCAUUAAUAUGUUUUUCUGCAAAAUUAUGUACCAUCAUAGAUUAUAAUUGUUAAUAAAUCGUGAUUUCAGCUCUAUACAACGUAAGAAUUUGUUAUAUGUUCUUUUUUUUUUUUUUGCCCCACAUACUAGUAAGAUCAUUUCUUUUUUUUUUUUUCUUUUUUCUAAGAGAUAACUUUUUAUAGCUUUUAUGAAGAAUGAAGAAGAAUAAAAUAAAACCAAACGAGACCAGUCAUGAUUUCAGGUCAGCACAACAAAAGAAGUUGUUAGAUGUCUCUUUUGGUUAUGCCGGAUUAUUUUCAGAAAAAUAAUAUUUUUGUAGCUAAUUAUAUUAAGAAGAGUAAUCCUAUCACCCGGAAAAAAAUGAUCCCCAUCAUAAGCAUCCCAAAUGAUUUGUCUUUCUUGUGGAGAGCAAAAUGGUGAAUUGAAAACUAUUCAAAAAUCAAAAGCACCAUCUGCUUAAUCAUUGUCUAGAAUAUGGUGGAUCUAACCAUGACAGAUCAAUAAACAUAUUUGCAGGGACUUGCAAUCCUGGCAAUACAAGCACACGCACACCAGCUAAGACCAAAACCCUGCGUAGGUGUUGCACCGAACCUAGUGAAUCAAUGCGACGAUGCUGAUGGAACCCAAGUUGCGAUUCUUUUUACCGGAUUAUACCUAUUUGCAUGUGGCACCGGUGGGGUUAAAGCAGCUUUGCCAUCAUUGGGUGCUGACCAAUUUGAUGAAAGGGACCCCAAAGAGGCAGCUAAAUUUUCAAGCUUUUUCAACUGGUUUUUGUUUAGCCUUACGGUUGGAUCAAUAAUCGGUGUCACAUUCAUUGUUUGGAUAAGUACCAACCAAGGUUGGGAUUGGAGUUUUGGUGUGUGCACCAUAGCUGUCUUAUUUGCUACAGUAUUCGUAAUCAUGGGCAAGUCUUUGUAUCGCCAUAAUGUCCCCAAAGGAAGCCCCAUCAUUCGCGUUCUUCAGGUUUUCGUAGCUGCCAUUCAUAAUCGAAACCUUCCUAAACCGGAAAUGGCAGAUCAAUUACAUGAGAUUCAUGACAGAGAAGCAGGGCUGGACACUGAAAUCCUUAAGAGGACUGACCAAUUCAGGUAUUUUAAUUUGUCUGACUUUGCCAUGCAAUUCACAAUUGAUUUAUAACUAUAGUUUAAGUUUAUCUGAUCAAUAUUCAUAUUAAAAAAAAUCCUCAGGUUUUUGGACCGCGCUGCAAUCACUAGGACAGCUUGUGACGGUAGGGCAUCGACAUCAAUCAAUCCUGGACCCUGGCGUCUAUGCACAGUAACACAAGUUGAGGAAACUAAGAUUCUACUUCGCAUGCUUCCAAUUAUAGUUAGCACCCUGUUCAUGAACACAUGUUUGGCUCAGCUCCAAACUUUUUGCAUCCAGCAGAGCACAACAAUGGACAGAAAUUUAUUUGGUUUUAAGGUGCCUGGACCCUCCCUUCCAGUUAUCCCGUUAGUGUUCAUGUUCAUUCUUGUCCCCAUAUACGAUCGCGUGUUCAUCCCAAUUGCUAGAAAGAUUACAGGAAUCCCCACUGGAAUUCGACAACUUCAACGAAUUGGAGUUGGAUUAGUACUCUCAGCCGUUUCAAUGGCGGUUGCUGCUGUUGUAGAAACCAAGCGAAAAUCUGUGGCUGUUGAGCACAACAUGGUUGACUCUAUUGAGCCACUGCCAAUGAGCGUGUUUUGGCUGGGGUUCCAGUACGCUAUAUUUGGAGCGGCUGACAUGUUCACUCUUGUUGGGCUGCUUGAUUUCUUUUAUGCGGAGAGCUCAGCUGGAAUGAAGUCAUUGAGCACAGCCAUCUCAUGGUGCUCAAUAGCAUUUGGCUACUUUUUGAGCUCUCUGGUGGUAGAGAUUGUGAACAAGGUCAGCGGUGGAUGGUUGGCUAGUAACAAUUUGAAUAGAGAUAAGCUCAAUUACUUCUAUUGGUUGCUUGCUGGGAUAAGUGUGUUAAAUUUCGGGUUCUAUUUGGCUUGCGCGUCUUGGUAUCGAUAUAAGGAGGUUGAAAUUAAGCAGGUGGAAGAUUGUAGUGAUGUUGAUACCAGGGGAAAGAAAAAGGUUGAAAUGGUGAGAGUUUAGAGAUCGUAUGUAGCUCUUAAGAGCUUUCUUGCUAAUGGUUCUUCCAAUCUUGUUGCAUCAGUCCACGUUGGAUCCUUUUAUCUAUCGAUUAUAGUAAUAUAAAAUAAUGUCAUUCACGAAACCAAAGUAGGAGGCUAUUCGUUGAUUGAUCAAAUAUCCUGCGGGUUACGUAUAUGCAACAUUAAACCCCGCUAGCUAACUAUAUUUGUAUUUACUUUGUACAACAGAGAGAUGUUAGAAUUGGCAUGGACCAAAAAGUUUAAAAAAUUGAUCCUUGAACGGGAUGCAUGAUGGUGAUAAACCACAGAAAUUUAGGGUCGCAUGGGUUGGAUUUUAAGUCAAUUCAAAUCAAAUAAAUAAAGUUUGGAUGUAACUUAAACUAGUCCAAAUAUUUUUAAUCAAACCUUAACUAACUUAUUUGGGAUUGGUUUAAAUUUCAUGAUCAAAAUAUUUUUUUUGAUAAAUUUAAUUAUAUCAAAAUUCUAAUAAUUUUUAAUUGUUAUAUGUAUUAAUUAUUAAAUUAAUAUUAAAAUAUGAAAAAUUAUUUGAUAAAAAAUUAUAAAUAAUAAAUUUUGUAAAAAUUUCUUCCUCAAAUUAGAGAAUAAUAAAAAAUUAAAAUAAAUUUUAAUCACAGAAAUCAUUGUUUCUCAACAAAUGAGACCAUUAAUAAUAAACCCCCACAAGCUUAAAAUCAACAAGUAAAUUAAAAGAAAGAAAAUAAAAAGCUAGUAGUAUUAACUCCAUUACGACACAAACUUUAACAAUAUACCUACAAAUCAAAGUAAGAUAAAACAACCUAACGCUAAGUAUCAAAGCAAUCUAUCAUAAUCUUUCCCUCAACAAUACUUUCAUCAAGAGCUUUCAUUAUCAACCAAAUCAACGCAUUCACCAAUAAAUAAAAUAAAAAUAAUAAUAAUGUUGAAUAGUUAUAAAGAUGAGUAAAUUUAUAAAAGAAAAUGAUUGUUGAUUCAUACCAAAAUCAUAAGAAUAACAUCAACUCAAAACUGUUGCCUUUCUUGUUAUAUUUGAUUCAAAUUCUACAUUAAAUUAAAAAUAAAUUAAUAAAAAAUACUAGUUAUAAACAAAUAUAUACAUGUUUUUACUUACUAUGAUAAAUAGUUACAUGACAUCAUGGCUUUAUAGAACACAAGCUCCUCCAUCAUUUGUUCAUGUUGUGUUAGGAAAUAUGUUUCCUUUUUCAAUAAGGAUAUUUCCUAGGUUUUUUUUUAUUUAGUAAUUUCCUUACUCAGAAGGAUUCUUAUUUAAGAAAUAAGUAAUUUCUCUUUUGGGACUUGACUUAUUCAAGAAAAAAUAUAACUAGUAUAAAGAAAGGAACAUUUUUUUCUACAAGAAAAUAAUUACUAUAUAUAGAGCGGUUGGGUCCACUUGUUUAUAUAACAAAACACAACAAUCAUUUAUUUAUAAAUAGACAAUUUUUAAUGAGAGAGAGCCUAUGAGAGAUUGAGUGUUAUUGGAGUUUUGAGUGUGACAAAAAUAUUAGAGUGAUUGUAGUAAUUUUUUAUAUAGUAGUUUUUUCCCGUUGUUCUUAACGGUCAUGUUUUUUCUUUGAUAUAAGAUUUUUUCUACGUAAAUUCCUGUUGUGUAAAUAAUUUUAUUCUCUAUCUAAAUUUUAUUUAUUAUUUGUUUGAUAUUUUUAUUUGUAAGAUCUUGGAUAAUAUUAAAAUUUCCUAACAUCUUGUAAUGGGACAAAAGUUGAAGGUAAUGAGACUGACUAGUUAUUAUUGAUGACACAUUUGAGAAAAUCUCGAAGUUAAUUGGAAAUUAAAACCACGAGAACUUGCCACUUAAUGGCUAAGCUGCUUGCUGAAAUCAAUUCGAAGAAAUUGCUGAUCGCUCCAGUGAUUGAGAGCUGCUUCAUGUUUGAGAUGAAUCUACGUGGCUUUUCAAAAAUCAUUAGGAUGAAACUACCCCGUGUGAAGUUUAAUUGGCAAAGUCACAUGGUUACAAGCCCAACGAUCGAAAGUAUUGGCUAAGAGUUUGCGGACUAAGAGACAUUCUCUCGUAGCAAAGCAAAGAAAGAAGUCAAUGGAACCUCAUUAAUUAGGUGUGAGCAUAUUUAGGUUUUGAAGUAUCUUUUAAUAUGUAUACGGUAUACCCCUUGUUACAUUAAAGCCACUGCCACGGAUCAGAGGUGGUUAAUAAAAGCCAAAGGAACCAUAAGCAAAGACAUUAAGGCAAUACGAAAAUCCCUUUGUUCUUAAUGUGAUUCUUAGAAACCAAAAUCAUAUCGGUAGCCUGAGCAGGCGAAACAUCAUGCAAUUGAUGUCAUGAGUUAUUGAUACCGAUGAUACAAGCUGUGGCUUGAUAAAAUUUUAUUUACUUACGUAGCUUACGUUUUGUUAGAGUUUUAAUUUGAUUUUAUUUUCGAACAUACCGGCGGAAAUGAAAAUAAUAAGAAGAAGAAGAAGGGGGCAAAAGAAUCGGGCGCUCUAUGCAAAAGUUGGCUUCAGAUAAAAUGAGACUACGAAGAAAAUCCAAAGGAUUUUUUCCCUUUUCUUUUCUCAUUUCAGCCUUUACAACUUUGUCCUCCGGUGCUUUCAGAUAAAAAGAACAAAAGUUCAAAGUUAAUAAUGCUACAAGAUUUUGAAUGACAAUUGACACCAGGGCAAAAGAUCACAAUGUUAAAAAAGAAAUGUACAAGUCAAAUCAUUUGAAUUUCUUUUUUCUUUUUCUCCCACUCCCUUGCCAAAGAAUAUCAGAAUAAAUGAUUCCAUAAAAAAUGGCUGUCAUCGGCCAUGAUUGGGCCGUGCAGAAAUAUACACACUGAUUGAAGAGACGAACCAUUAAUUGAAACGAUGUCCAGGAUAUGCAUGAACUUGACAAGGCAAAAUAUUGACAGCCGCUCGUUAAUGAGCUAAAAGUGAGGAAAAUAAUUUUAAAAAUUGUUAAAGUUUCAUCCUUUUCCACUGCACCCAGGUAGAAACAUGUCACGAGAUUGGCACAGCAGCAUUCUUCAUUGCAUAAGGAUCAUCUAACAUGUUGGAUACUCUGGACGGAGGCCAAUAACGAAACACUGACCUACCGACGAUGUUCUCAAUAGGAAGCGGACCCCUGAAAAUAAGAUCAACAACAUAUGAAAUUGCACUUAUUAGUACACACUAAUGAACCAAGAUAACUUGCAACACUACUUAUCAAAUGUAAACUUCCUCUCGCUUCUGAAUUACAGUACGUUUAGGAAAUGAUCAAAAGGGUAAUAAACUUAGAAGUUCAUCAGUGGGUCAGUGAGACUAAGAGAUUCGCAAUUACCAGUUAUGAGAAUCAAAGCUGUUAUUACGAUUGUCUCCCAAUACAAAGACAUAACCUUCAGGCACAACCUGCAAAAAGCAAACCGCACAUUAGACUCCAGUAGCCAAUUUGAGCGGGUUUGGUAACACAACAAAGAAACUACCAAUCAAAAGAGAAACAGAACCAGAAUAGGAAACAUUACCACUGGGUCCAUUUCAUAAGCUAGUGGCUCCAGAAUGAAAUCUUCAUCUUGAGCAACACCAUUUACAAGCAGUUUCCCACCAUGAACCUAUCAACAAAAACCACAUGAAUGAUAUCAGACAUCUGAAAGCAGGAAUUUGAUAACGAUUUUUGGGGAAAAAAUGGAGGACGGAGAAUAGGGGAUAAAGGAGGACCUAAAGUUGAUAUAUGGCAAUAUGGGAUCAAUAUGAUAUUAGCUUACUUCGACACAAUCUCCAGCCGUUGCCACUAUCCUUUUUAUGAAUACAUCACCAGAACUGAAACCAAUUUCCUAUAAUACCACAAGGUAAAAAAAAUUAGCAAAUAGAAAUAGAACAGAAAGAAAUCCUAAUUUUUAAACUCAAAAAGUGAGAUCAAGUGAUACCUGCAAGAUCGGAGGUGCCCUAAAGAUCACUAUAUCAGAUACCUCAGGCCUUUUGAAAAAGUAUGAAACCUGAUAGACCAAGGACAAAAGCAAAAAGACAUCAGCUAAUUAUCCGAGGAUGCAAAUUCACCAUAUAUAUAUAUAAAUCUUAGAAACAAAUCCUGGAUUUCAACCUGUAUCUCAUUCUCUCGCAUAAUUCCACAAAUUGAACAUUUUCAUCCAUUGAUCAUCAAACUCAUAAAGCUUAUAAAGGGCUUAUGAAGGGCUCUGAGUAACAUCAAGAUGCGCAGAAUUGUAAGAAUGAAAGCAACCAAAGACUUAAUGUUUCCAUUGGAGAAGAAUUCGAACAUAGAAUGUUCCGUGAAAAAGGCUCAUCAUUUUCGUUCAGGUAAAUUGACUUCGCAAAUCAGUGGAAUCAUUGAAAGUCUGGUUGAGUGUAAGUUUAUGUCGAAUAACAGGUUUUAUAUAGGGUACGGCAGCGCCGGUAUUUAGCUUAUACCAAUGCCACAAACCACUAAGCAAAAAUAAUAAUUAUUAUUUACGGCAAGACCAAAAGUUUAUAAAAAUUACAAAUUCUAACAAGGUUAAAGAUGCUUCACCUUCUCUGCCAAAAUCCGGUCACCAACAUCCAGGGUAGGGUUCAUAGAAGCCGAUGGAAUGGAUCUGGGCUCAGCCAAGAACGACUUGAACAACAAACUAACAGUCAAAGCCGUAAAGGCGGCCUUGGCAUCAUCCGAACAUACAUUCAACAACUUCGAUAACCAACUUCCGCUCGUUUUCAACUGCAAGCUUACACCAUUCAAAUUUUCACUACCACUAAACUGUAUUUUAUCAGUAGUCCCUCCUUUAUCCACGUAAUCACUCUCCGGAACGGUGCCCGGCUCGUUACAGGGAAGCCACUUCGAUCCCUGUAAAAAGGGAAUAAUCGAAGCGGCUUUAAACGGUGAAAUCCCAAAGACACCCAUGGAGGUUGCAGAAGAACCGGGCAUACCAGCCGUUGACUUCAUCAACGAGACCAAUCCCAUGAGGAUCGGACUGUUGCAAGCGCCGUCACCGAAUAUUUCGGCGGCGAGUGUGUUACAUCGGUAAUUUGCUUUGGGCUGAUAAUUUGGGGCCGGAUCAAGGUCGGUUUUUUUGUUGUGGCAGAAGACUCGAGGGCGAAACAAGCAUUCGUGGAAGGAGCGAGUGGAGGUGGUGGAGAAGCCGAAGCGGAUUCCGGCGGAGUGGGCGAGGUUUUGAGCGACGUAACCGGAGAAGUUGACGGUGACACGUAACGCCAUAUUUGCGAUUUUGAAUAGCUUGAGGAGGAUUAGUUGAAUUGCGCUUUCGGAGAUGAAAAGGGUUGAUCGGAGGAGAUCUAGAAGCUGAUAAACGACAUCGUCACGGGCUGAUUCAGUGAGUCGGAAGCGGGAAGGUUGAAUUGAGGUUUCGAGGGUAAAACCGGACGCCGAUGUGAGAUCGCUUUUUGGAGAAAAUCAGCGCUCAAAUUUACGAGCUUUUGUUUUAUGCUUUGCUUCUCUCUGGGAGGCAGAGAGAUGGAGCUACACUCGAAACCAAAUGCCGAACAAACAGUCGCUGAGUUUAAGACUCCAGAGAGGUAAAGAAUAAGAAGGACUCGAGAGUCCAGGAAAAGGAUUAUAAGACGGCGGCUGUCUGCGGGUUACCCAAAAAGGCUUUGUUUCUCUCUUUAUUUACGCAACUUACCAGCGUCUUUCCGUUGAACUCCGUUUGGAAGUGGAUUUUUUUUUAAAAAAAAAUUUGCAUAACAAAAUGAACAAAAUUCAACUUUUUUGAAUUUCUAUAUCCCUUCCUUCUUCUCCUUUUUCCUUUUUUUUUUUUACUACAAAAAUUAUAUGAUAAUUAAGUUAACGCCUGUUGUUGGACUUGGAUAUAAGAUAAAAUUAAAACUACUAACUAGUACUGACUUUCAAUAUGUAAAUGGAGAAAAUAGGGAGGGUAGUUUUGGCAUUUCUCAAAGGACGCUAAAUUCGUGGAAGGGGUUUCUAACGAGCGAGUGCAUGUAUUUGUUUUGGAUUGAUGGGUGUUUAGUUGAGGUUUGACUUUGACCACGGGAAGGCAUGUUAUCUGUGCGUUACCUUCCUGCAACUUCCCUGAACCUCCCAGCUGACGUGGAGAAUCCGUUUCGCAUUGAUUUAGAUGCCCUUCAAAUGCGUUCACUCUAUGGCUGAAUAAUUGCAAUUGUCCCCUCAAUUUUGUGAAAUUUGAUAAGUCUUGCCCGAUAUAUGAGGAAUUUGUGAGGAGACCCUUUAUUUCUAAAAUUACAUUCUAGGUCAUGCAUUCAACUAAAUAUAUAUAUUCUCAUAUUUAUGAAAAAUUAAAUUUCGAGACUUUAAUUUCUCUCUUAUUAAUAUGUAGGGAUAAAUAAAAUAAUACGAAAAAAAUUGAAGAAAUUUUUUAGAAUUUAACAUAUUUGAUAUCAAAAUUAUGGGGAAUAAACAUCAAUAUAUCACAUAUUCUUUCUGUUUUUUUUUUUUUUGGGUAUGUCGAAUUAAUUAGGUAACAUUGAAUAAUUGAUUAAGUUCAUUUUUAAUAUUUUGUUUAUUAAAUAAAUAUAAAAAUCAAAUUAAUAGUUCCUUUAAUAUAAAUCAGCGACUUAAUUUUAUUAUACUGGAUUUGUUUCGUAAGCCUGAAAUGACCAAAUGAUUGCAGAUGAAAUUGCGAAAUCAUUAAAACCAAAGGGAGAUAAAAUUUUAAAAAAAAAUGAAAAAGGGACUUCCAAAAAUAUGGAAGGGCCGAAGGGGUCUUAUUUAGAAUAAACCACUUGACUCAAGGGAGUUAGUUACUCAGACUCCUAAAGGACGACGCAACUAGUGGCGUAAGCGCAUACCUCAGCACCGGAGUUGAUUGGUCGUCGGAAAGCUAAUGACAUUACAAAUUAUGGACUCGACUAGCUUACAGAAUCUGUAAGGUACAGACUGCAGCAUCAGCCGUUGGAUGUGGUUGGAUGUGGAGUGAGAAAAUAAACAAUAGAAAAUCGGAUGGUGGGAUGACGGGAGAUGUUUGUUACAGAAUCUGUACCAUAAACAGGUCCUACAAAUUAUAUAUGAUUGAAAAAUAACACAAUCAUUUCCUGAUAUAAUAUAGAGAAAAAUUGCGGAUUUUGCAACUACUGACAGUUUUGAUUAGCUUUCAACCAUUUUGAAACAAUAUUUUAUUUAACCAAUUUACCAAUUUCCUGUAGCAGGUAGUUUGACUGACUAUUUAUGUUAUGGUUUGUGUAUAAUUAGACAAUUAACGAGACGACGUCAAAUGAAUUUGGAUUGUGUCAUUUAUCACAUCUUCCGCAUCCGUGCCACCGUGGCACCAUUGGGAUGAUAUUGUUUAUACACAGAUGGCAAUAAGACGGAAUCGUUUGCGCUCUAGUUUAUAUUUUGAGCACGUUUAUUUUAAUAAAAUCUUAUAUCAAUAAAAUAAUCUUGAUUGAAUUUACUAUGAAUGACAUUGAUAUUAUUUAGAAAAUACUCUUACCGCCCAUACAAAUAAUCCCAAACACUUUAGUCUAAUAUUAAAUGAAAAUGCUUCGUUUUAUAUACACCCUAGAAUUGAUUUGAAAAUCAUCAAGCCACCCACACAAUCUUUAGUGUUUGCUGCUUUACAUUCCAUAAUGUGACAAAAUAAUAACAAUUAACAAGAAGAAAGGACGUUAAUGUGGAGGAACAAAUAAUUAGGGAUGGCAAUGGGGAGGGGAGGGGACUGACAUUUCCACACUCAUCUCCGAUAUUCUGCAUAUAUCCACGUCCCCUUCUCGUCCCCAUUAGAAUUGCUUGAGGGGAUCCCCGUCCCCUCCCCGAAUAAUAAGAGAGGAUCCCCGAGGGCUCCUCAAUCUCCGAAUAACUGAUACGUUUUUAAACUUAAAUUCUGAAUUUAAUUUAAUCAUAUUAAAUUAAAAAUUUAAACCAAAGUAAGGUUUGACAAUAUACCUUACACUAACAUUAAUCCAUUAUAAAAAUUACACUACAAAAUACAAGUCAUUAGAAUAAUUACCUUCAUCAAUCUUCAUGAUCUUAUAAUAAAAAAAAUUACUUUUAUAUCAAUAAUGAAAUAAAUGAAAUGUAGUUUGACUGACUAUUUAUGUUAUGGUUUGUGUAUAAUUAGACAAUUAACGAGACGACGUCAAAUGAAUUUGGAUUGUGUCAUUUAUCACAUCUUCCGCAUCCGUGCCACCGUGGCACCAUUGGGAUGAUAUUGUUUAUACACAGAUGGCAAUAAGACGGAAUCGUUUGCGCUCUAGUUUAUAUUUUGAGCACGUUUAUUUUAAUAAAAUCUUAUAUCAAUAAAAUAAUCUUGAUUGAAUUUACUAUGAAUGACAUUGAUAUUAUUUAGAAAAUACUCUUACCGCCCAUACAAAUAAUCCCAAACACUUUAGUCUAAUAUUAAAUGAAAAUGCUUCGUUUUAUAUACACCCUAGAAUUGAUUUGAAAAUCAUCAAGCCACCCACACAAUCUUUAGUGUUUGCUGCUUUACAUUCCAUAAUGUGACAAAAUAAUAACAAUUAACAAGAAGAAAGGACGUUAAUGUGGAGGAACAAAUAAUUAGGGAUGGCAAUGGGGAGGGGAGGGGACUGACAUUUCCACACUCAUCUCCGAUAUUCUGCAUAUAUCCACGUCCCCUUCUCGUCCCCAUUAGAAUUGCUUGAGGGGAUCCCCGUCCCCUCCCCGAAUAAUAAGAGAGGAUCCCCGAGGGCUCCUCAAUCUCCGAAUAACUGAUACGUUUUUAAACUUAAAUUCUGAAUUUAAUUUAAUCAUAUUAAAUUAAAAAUUUAAACCAAAGUAAGGUUUGACAAUAUACCUUACACUAACAUUAAUCCAUUAUAAAAAUUACACUACAAAAUACAAGUCAUUAGAAUAAUUACCUUCAUCAAUCUUCAUGAUCUUAUAAUAAAAAAAAUUACUUUUAUAUCAAUAAUGAAAUAAAUGAAAUGGGUAUAUAUAUUGAAAUUAAUAUUUUUAAUGAAAGCAUUUACUCUUACACCUCAUGCUCCUCAUGUUCUUCCUCAAGGAAUGUGACAAAUUGAAAUAUAAUAUCAUGUUUCAAAUCUAAAACAAUAAAAUAAUAUAAGCAAUAUGAGUCAUAUGACUCAUAAUCUAAAAUAGUUUUGGGCCAAGGCAUUUAGAAUAAGAUCUGGUCAAAUAGUAAUUCAUGACUACAACUAGUUAAGUAGGCUCAAAAUUUUUAUAGUAGAUUUGUAUAAAUAUUUUGAUUUUUUUAUUUAUACAAUAUUUAAUAUAAUUUAAAUUUUAUUAUUCAUUUAUUAAGAAUUCUAAAAAAAUAAAAAAAAAAUUAAAAAUUAAUAUAAGGAAAUGGGGAGGGGAUGAGGAUUCCAUCUCAUCCUUGUCCCUUCCCCGAAUAUGCAAUUAAGUAAAAAAUUAUCUCCGUCUCUUCUCCGAAUAAGAAAUUGGAUAUAAAAUCGUCCACAUACCCUCCCCGAAUAUGGAAAAUCCCUAAGGAUCCCCGUCCCCGUGGGGAUUUUUGCCAUCCCUACAAUUAAUCAUGCAUAUUUGAUAGGGAUGGCAAUGGGGAGGGGAGGGGAGGGGACCAAUCUCCCCGUACCCAUCCCCGAUAUUUUGCGUAUGUCCCUGUCCCCGUCAGAAUUACUUGAGAGAAUCAUCAUCCCCUCUCCGAAUAAUAACAGGGGAUCCCCAAGGGUCCCCGAUCCCCGAAUAACUAAUACAUUUUUUGUUUUUGAUUUUGAGUUAAUCAUAUUAAAAUAAAAAAUUCAAAUAAAAGUAAAGUUUGAAAUAUAUCUUACAUUAAUAUCCAUUAUAAAAGUCACAUACAUUAAAUUAGUAAGUAACGCAACAUGUAAGGGAUACAAACUUCUUUUACAAACGAUCGUGAAUAAAUUAAUAGUCUAAUACAAAAUUGUUACAAAUAAAAUCGAAUUUAGAUUCAAAAUUAACUUUUUCAAUUGUGGCGUGGGCACUUUAUAAAUGUGGAUUAUUUCCUUUACAGCACAAUAGUUAAAUCAUAGCAAAUCAAGAGCAAAUAUUAUAUUAGAUUAAAUUAGAUAUAAAAAUUGUGAUUCGCUGUGGGCAAUUAUAACAUCUAAAAAUAAAUAAAUAAUAUAUUUAAGUUUAAAACAUUUAAUGAAUAUUAAAAUUAAAAAAAAAAUUGGGCUAAUAGAAUUUACCCAGUUGUUUUAAUGUCUUAAAUAAAAAUUUAGGACUUUAAUUAGUUAAUUAGGCCUAAAAGUUUAAUAAUAUAAAUAUUUUGAUAUUUGUUAUUUUUUACCAAUAUUUAUAAUUUUAUAAUUCAAAUUUUAUUAUUUAUUUACUAGUAAUUUUUAAAAAUAAAAAUAAAAUUAAAAAUUAAAAUGAGAAAAUGGGUAGGGGAUGGGGAUUCCACCUCAUCCUCGUCCCUUCCCUGAAUAAGAAAUUGAGUAUGAAAUUAUCUCCAUACCCUCCUCGAAUGGGAAAAAUCCCCGAGGGUACCCAUCCCCGUGGGAAUUUUUGCCAUCCCUAAUAUUUGAUAUGACACAGAAUAUUUUCAGCUUACACAUUUAAUGGAAUAUGUACAUGUAUAUAGCCCAUGAUCCAAUCUCAACCAAAAGAGUUUCAUCACAAAUCUUGAAUCGCGACGACAAGUUUGGGAAUCAUCGACCAACAUAAUAUAACUUAAGAAUGGCAAAUAUUUUUUAUGGGUGUACAAAGAAAAUACAUAUUUAAUGGAAUAGUUUUAAUAGAGGAUAUUUAUGACAUUUGAAAGAGGGUGAAGAGUAAAAAUUAUGAUAUGAAUGAAUAGAGUAAAAAAGAAAAAUAUUCUCAAUAGAUUUUAGAAUUCAAAUAUUCUUACCCACGUCAAUAUCGAAUGAAAGAGUGGGACUAUUGUCACCCCUCUAAAUAUCUCUUAAAACCCCUUUAAUUAUUUUACAAUUUUAAUCUUUAUUGAAAUUACAUAUUAGGACAAUUUCUAAUUAAACUCCAUUCAAAAGUCAAAUAAUUUUUCUAUUUUAGAAAUUAAAAAGGUUAUUUUUCUCUAAUUUUUAGAUGAGUAAUUUACCACCGAUGGCUGCCGUAGGGAAAAUGAAAACUCAUUAUUAUUAUUUUUAAAUGGAAGAGACCUGGUUGUUGAAAUGAAGUUUAAUAAUAAAAAUUAGAGAAUGAGAUUUACACAAUAAGUUUUACUUAAGGGUAUUUUUGUCAUUGAUAGAGGUGUUAAAAGAAUUUUAUAAUUUUUUAAAAUAUUUUAAUGAAGUUAAUUAAGAAAAAAGAGUGUUAAAAGAUAUUUAGAAGGGUGCCAAUAGUCCCACUCCGAAUGAAAAUGCAGUUUUCUUCUCCACAAACAAUAAUUUUAUUAAUAAACUUUACUGGAUCUCGUUAUCCUAAGCCCUAAUCAACUUCCAUUAAAGUGAAAGAUAUUGUGUGCGUACGUUUGUCCUUCUCUUUUGAUACCACUCUGAGUCUCUGAUUAGGAAUUUAGGAUUGUAACUUUGCACAACUAAGGAAGCGAGAAAUUUAAGCAAUAAUGAAUUUAAAUUUGCUGGCACUGCGAGGGCGCAAGUUAGGCCCAACAAGUACUGGAGAAUAAGUUUAACAAUGGAUCAGGGACUCGAACGUAUUGGGCUUUUGAACAUUAAGGUUCGAUUUUGGUUACGACCAGAAUAUACACACACACAUAUAAUACGACAUGAAGCCCACUCUAUAAACCUAAAAUAGAAUCACCCGGAAGGUUGAACUUUGGGCUUACGAGCUGGAAUAAACGACCCCUUUUCUCAGCUUGCCUGACAUAGUCAUAGUCCAAUAGUCCUUGUAGCUGAAGGACCAUGAAACCUUGUAUGUUCCCUUAUUUUCGCACAUUUAAGAAAAAAGAUGCCAAGUACGAAUUUUAAUGAAAAUAAUCUCUUUUUACCUUAAAAAUAAAGUUUUGGCUUAGAUAAUACAUGAAAAAAAAAUACAUGUUUUGAAGCGGAUAAGUAUAGUUUUUACAUUUGUUUUUUCUUUCUUUUUUCAAAAAAUUAAAAUAAAGUGAAAUAAAAGGACCUUAAUUUAAUUAAUAGUUAUUAUAUGUAUCACGUUGUCUCUUAAAAAAGAACCUCCACACAUUGAAGCCCAUUGGAUUGGGGCUGGGCUUUUGGGCCAUCUGAGCGCAUGACUUCAUUUGCUAGCUAUUGGCUACACAGCCAUUUAAAAGGAAACUAAUGAUAGUAAUAGAGCAAAGUGGAAGAGCACCACUCUGUUUUAAUUAACUAUAGUAAAAGAAAAUAUUUUUAAGUCCACCAUCCACACUUAAUCCCGAUGGUGGUGUGUAUGUUGCAUAUAAAACAAAUUGCGAUGUUUAUUAUUUAUAGAAGCAUAAAUCAUAGGAAAAGGAAGUCCCAAUUCCAGAAAGACACAGAGGUAUAAAAAUUUGACAAGAGAUCGUAGUUAUAUUAGCGUCAAUUUCACUUUCGGCGGGCAAACGUUUCUGUGUGGUCCAUUUCCUUCCAUUAGUUUCUUUAUAAUUAUUAAAUUAUCCCAUAAAUGUGCUUAGACAACUAAUUCGAUUAGUAUGGUCAUAUAUUCAAGUUAUGGACGCAGCACGCUCAGUUGCUUGUGCAUAAAACAACAUGAUGUGAACAGUAUGCAUGCUGUCCUCUAAUUAUAAUCAAGUAGAAACUUCAAAGGCGUGCCAGCAAUCGAGGGCUCACAAUUGCCGCUGCCAUGACUACGGAUUUGGGGCGAUGAAACUUUUUACCCUACAGGUUGUUACCGCAGAGUUAUCACUGUAAAUAAAAGACUCGUUCAAAAUGGCAGGCAGGCAGGCCACGCGAGAAGUUGGCACGUGGUAAUGUUGGUAAGAUCUGACAGCUUGCGUUUGCCCCUCUCUCUGUAUCACCACCUAACUUUCUCAAAAGUUACCGCCAAACACGAAUCGAUGACCGUGGGACCAUUUCCAGGCGAUCUUUCCAAGCGUGCACGAUUACAUUUUCACGCGCCCCGUGGUGUUGAAACUGAACUGGCAAUUUGGGAAAAAGUAAUUUUGCCCGAAAAACCACCGGCGAAAGCAAUUUUACCGGAUACGCGCCUGUUUUCGCGUGCGUGAGGGUUUCCCACCCUCCGUCAGGGUUUAGGCCCACUACGAGAAUUCAGGAGCCAGACGUAGGACCCAUUUGACAUGAUUAUUCAUCGAACGCUCUAUAAUCUUUGAUUGAUUGUGACUCUUUGACCCACCACUUCGCGUUAAAGCCCACAUCAUAAUGACCGGCUCGUCCCGCACACAAGCCCACCUUCUCAGUUCUCACUUACCGGUAUAUAAACCUCUCUCUAUUAUGUAAAUCUUACAUGAGCAAACAAAGUCAAUCGAAAUGAAACUAGUCAAACCUCAUUUCUGACUUCGGCAUAGAUUUUCACAUCAUCACCAUCGUCCAAAACACCCACUUUGGACCGCUACCGGACGGUCACGAUCAAAGAGGUUCAAACUUUCAUGUCUCCUGCCACCCACCAUUUCACAUCGACAUCGUUCAGUUUUCUCAGAGACUGCAGACUGAGACUAGCCAGCCAUAUAAUAAAAUAGAAAAAGCGACGAAGAAAAAGAAAACCAAACCCCUCCAUUAUUUCUUAUCGCACUUAACACCAUUCGCAAGCCAAAGAAGUGACGCGCACACCAAGUGAACAAGAACUGAUGAGCAAUAUUAAUACUAUGGAGGAGAGGCCAGAGACGGAGCUGAUAUCCAUUCCAGCGACGCCACGUGCGUCAACACCGGAGGUACUAACGCCGUCAGGUCAAAGGUCGCCGAGGCCAGCAUCAAAGGAGGCGAAAUCUUCAACGGCAUGGACUCCGACUUCGUUUAUAUCACCGAGGUUUUUGAGUCCUAUAGGGACGCCAAUGAAGAGGGUAUUGGUAAACAUGAAGGGUUAUUUGGAGGAGGUGGGCCACUUAACCAAGCUCAAUCCUCAAGACGCUUGGCUCCCCAUUACUGAAUCACGUAAUGGGAAUGCACACUACGCUGCGUUUCAUAACUUGAAUGCUGGUGUUGGGUUUCAAGCGCUGCUUUUGCCUGUGGCCUUUGCUUUUCUCGGCUGGUAUGUGUUGCCUCCAGUUUCUUUAAUUUUCUCUGCCUUUUUUUUAUUUUAAGCUUUUUUCCUUCUGUUUCUCCAAAACAAAUUGGUUUGCUUGUAGCAGUAAUUAUAGAGUCAUGCUCCCAUUUUAGAAAAAGGCACAGGUCGUCUGACUGAAGUAGCCAGCAUCACUGAAUAUGCAUUUAUGUCUCGUAGGUUUGCUUAGUUUGAUUCAAUUUAUCAAAUUUAAGUAUUUUCAGCUUUAAAUUUAUGAACUUCAGCCGUAGUUAUAUCCUAUGUACUUCUUUUUUUUUAAAAAAAAAAAAAACUCCUAUUUACGUCCUGUUCAUUUUAAAAUUUUCUACUGUUACGAGUUCGAUUUGGCAAAGGACGAAUGUUUUUGUCACAAUUGAUAUAAUUUUCCCCAAGUCUGCGGUAAUACUACGACUGUACAUACCUCGAUAUUCUCUGUCUUUCUUCCGAUGCCUCUGCCUUUACCUGCUAAUCAUCAUAUAAAGUUAGCAGCGUCCGGCUCUACUUAAAUCUUUUGUAUUUAAAAUUUAAUUAUAGUAUGAUUAAAAAGAAAGAAGCAUCCUUGAGGCAAGUCACUUCAAUACUUUAUCUUUUCUAACAGAAGUUUGCUCGAUUAUUAUAGACAUUUUUCCAGUCCAGUACUGGGGCAUAGGUGAUUUUGUUUUCUUUUUAGAGGAUCACGCCCGGGGGCCCAUUUUAAAUUAAUCUCAUUAUUACUCAUGAAUGAUAUCGACUUCUCAUGAUUUCAGAGCAUCCAGCGAAUCAAAAUUUCACAAAGCAUCAGACAAAUCAAACAUUGUUGCCUUUAACAGUGCACCUUUGGCAGUUGGCACAUCUUUUCUUCCUUGACUUUUAAUUUUUUUUUUCUUUAAUAACAUUAUUCACCAAAUGAAUUUGAUUAAAAGGAGUGAUGUACGUUUUUAAUUCAAAUACUUUCAUUGUAACUUUUCGGUCCUGCCAAAUUCCUAUGUUUUUUUGCCCAUUAGGCUUUUAGCAUGUAUGGUAAUAGUAAAUUUGACUGCAGAGGUAUUUUUAAGGAAAGAUGAUUUCAGGCUUUUCGAUCAUAUGAAAUUUGAAUAUUUACGUCUUUUGCAACCGAAAUUCAACCAGGAAUGUGGGGGAAUUAAGCAUUAUGAUUGAACUUUAUGCAUUCGGAAAUGGUAUCCUAGGUUGUUCAUUUGCGUUUGUGACUAUUCACCUCUAUAAUAAUUAUUUCCAACCAAGAGAAGAAACAACUAUUGUUGUGCUGAAGGGAAGAAAUAUUAUUUGUUUGAAAUGGUUUGCCAUUGGUGAUGGUUUUUGCAGGAGUUGGGGAAUACUUUCCUUAACAAUAGCCUAUUGUUGGCAACUCUACACUUUGUGGAUUUUGGUUCAGCUGCAUGAAGCUGUUCCAGGAAAGAGAUACAACAGAUAUGUGGAGCUUGCACAAGCCGCAUUUGGUAAGAACACAUGCUUAAGCUCAAAUUCUAAUACAUCUAUUGUUUGGAGAAUCGGUUCCAAUGCUUCCCCCCAGAAGAAAAAGAAAAAGAAAAAAAAUUCAAAUAAUUAAAUAAAUGAUACACAAAAGAUUAAUGUGGUUGUGCUAUGCUUUUCUUAUGAAUCUAGUAAUUUACAUUUUUUUCUUUUAGCAAGCUGCUUGUCUAAUCUUUUAAUACAACCAUGUUAGUAUCAUUUCACUGUGGAGGAUAAAAAUGAUGACUUAACAUUGAGGUAUUAAAUUUUUGUUCUUUGCAUGAAAUUUACUGGAAAAUAAUGAGUUGAAUGUUGUGUUUGCUACCUUUGCAGGGGAAAGACUUGGCGUCUGGCUUGCUCUCUUCCCAACAGUUUAUUUAUCUGCAGGAACUGCGACAACUUUGAUUCUCCUGGGAGGGGAGACAAUGAAAAUGUUCUUUCAGAUUGUUUGUGGGCCUCUUUGUAGCUCAAAUCCUCUAACAACGGUUGAGUGGUAUCUGGUGUUCACUUCUUUGUGCAUUGUUCUCUCUCAGCUUCCAAACCUCAACUCAAUUGCAGGGCUGUCACUGAUAGGAGCUAUAACAGCCGUCACUUACUCCACCAUGGUGUGGGUGCUCUCUGUUAGCCAACCAAGGCCGCCUAACAUCUCUUACGAACCACUUUCAUCCGCAUCCCCUGCAGCCACUGUCUUCUCUGUCAUGAAUGCACUUGGGAUUAUUGCUUUUGCGUUUAGAGGGCACAAUUUAGCUAUGGAAAUUCAGGUAUAUUUGCACUUUGUGAUUUUUGAACCACUUAGCAAAACAUGUUACAUUCGAAGGUAGUUAAUUUUAUUUUCUAAGGAACUUAUUUGCCUUUUUUCAGGCUACAAUGCCAUCAACCUUUAAGCAUCCUGCUCACGUGCCCAUGUGGAGAGGAGCCAAAGUUGCCUAUUUAUUCAUUGCCAUGUGCUUGUUCCCAGUUGCCAUUGGAGGUUUUUGGGCUUAUGGAAAUCUUGUAAGUACACUUAAUGCCAAGGCACAUAACAAGUUCACAAUAGGAAAGAAGAAAGAAUUACUUGACGUUCUUGCAUAUGUUGAGAAAUGUAGAAAGUCUCAAUUGCAAAGAAGCCCCCGAGUUAUCAAAUAGAAGAGCAAUACAUUUUAUCUUGCUAGUUGCUACUUUCAAAUAAAAUUUUUUAUGGUUAGGUUGGUAGAAUUUAUCCGAAAAUAUAUCAUAUCUCUCUCUCGAGAUAUUUCUUUUAAAUUAUGUACUACUCCAAAAUUAUUGUGAAUUGACACCUAUAAUGAGAUGCUACUUUUCUAAUAUCAAAAUGCUGUAAUACAAUAAUGGAUUUUAUGUAGAUAUCGUGAAUGAUGUAGUUGAUCGCCCUCGUCUGUUUAUGAUUCAGUUCAUUCUUAAUCUUUUUUUUGUUUUCUUGUUUUAGAUGCCUUCGGGAGGGAUGCUCCGUGCAUUGUUUCAAUUUCACAGCCACGAUAUAUCAAGAGGACUUCUUGCAGUGACUUUUCUCCUUGUUGUAUUCAACUGUUUAAGUAGCUUUCAAAUAUACUCAAUGCCUGUUUUCGACAGCUUUGAAGCAAGCUACACCAGCCGCACCAACCGACCGUGCUCAAUCUGGGUUCGAUCUGGUUUCCGGGUUUUCUAUGGAUUUGUCUCAUUCUUCAUAGGCGUGGCACUCCCUUUCCUCUCCAGCCUUGCCGGUCUCUUGGGAGGACUCACUCUUCCGGUCACUUUUGCUUACCCAUGCUUCAUGUGGGUGCUAAUAAAAAAGCCUACGAAAUACAGCUUCAACUGGUAUUUCAAUUGGAUCCUGGGUUGGUUGGGAGUCGCCUUUAGCUUGGCCUUCUCCAUUGGCGGUCUUUGGAGUAUAGUGAACAGUGGACUUAAGUUGAAAUUCUUCAAGCCCAGUUGACAAACAGUCAGUAGUACUAGCUAAAGGGAAUGUCGAAACUCUGUAAAAUCAAUGGAGAUUCAUUUCGUAUUUGUUGUUGUUUCGUACAAUUUUAAACUUCCAUGUAUGCACAUGUUACUUAUGGUGCAGGCAGCACCCGUUUCAUGUAAGUUUUAUUGUUCGAUUUUCUUCUCCUAAUCACUUUGAUUUAAAGUAGUGAAAAGAAAUACGGAACGUAUGGUCUGAAGAUUCUGAAGAUAUUGAGAGUGCACCUUAUAAAGAAUAGGCCCAAAUCCAGCUAACAACAUCUUAAUAGGCCCAAAUCCAGCUAACAACAUCUGAUUCUGAAGAUAUUGAGAGUGCACCUUAUAAAGAAUAGGCCCAAAUCCAGCUAACAACAUCUUUUUUUUUUUUUUAAAGUAAAUCUUAGUCUACGUUAAUUGAUUAGCUUUGCCAUUAGCGGUUUGCAGUUGCUUUCAGAUGAUUGCUGCUUUCCACCAUGGAACUGCACUGCGCGCAGGUUUUAGCUCUGUCAUCAUUCGAAAAGAUAAUCUCAAUGAAGCAAGCCAUCAAAAGUUAGGUAGCGAAUUUUGUUAGGCAUGCGGAUUUUGUAAGGCUUCAUUGUCACUUGUCACUGUCACAUUCUACAGAGCAGGCAAACAUAAUCAAAAUGGAAACAUGAAUCAUGAAUGCCGUUGCUGCAGUGAUUACAUUUGAAAAACAAAUUCUGUGUUCGGAGAAAAUGGGAUAGUUCGGGUGGUCAUCAUCUAAAGGGUUCUAUUGCAAUGAUUCAAGGUUUAAUUGACUCUCAGCAUCAAUAGGUUAGAAACAACCACCGACCAAAUGAUAAUGUUCCUCAUUUGUCCAUGGGGUUAAAACAUCACGGACCAUCAAUAAUUACUCAUUUCAUUGCCACUCCAGUGGCACCGAAACAGGUGUUUCCGUUUGAGGACGACAUCUCAUGCCGGCACAUGGACAUGGUUUCAAUUUAAUUGGAUUAGAAGGUGAAAUCCUGUUAAUGUAGAGCAACAUAUUGUGCGACCCACGAUCCAAUAAAAUCUUUUUCGCCCAGUGAAUGUGACAGCAGUCUUGAUUAUUCCAACUUUACCACGCCUCUUAGUAAACAAAUGAAAGAAACAAAAUUUAUCUGUCGGAUCGGAGAAAGAACAAAGAAGAAGCCAUUAACAACUAUUUUUUUAUUGAGCAUCGUUCACUACUAAACGAAUAAAAAAAACGUUUUGACUGCGUCUGUGGCUGUCAAUUUUUUUUAAUAAUUAUUUUUCUUUUUUUAUGGACAUCCAUUUUGUUACUUUUUAUAUGAAUACGUUUUUCAUAUCUACUCCAGUAUGGCAGUAUCACACAACUAUCAGACCCAUGAACCAACUUGGACGGUAAAUCAUUGUUCUAAUUAGGUAAUGGCCAAACAUGAAGGUGAGCCCGGCAGCCUUCCAAUAAUAUUUCUUAUUCUACAAGAUCGGAUUGGGUUGGAUUAACCCUUGGGAUUAGAUUAGGGAAAAAGUUCUUCUCAACUCUAAAAUUUCAUACAAUAAUCCAUUUUAUCCUUAUUUUUUAAAUAAUAACCCAAAACAUCCUUCCGUUAACUCACCGUUAAUUGAAUAUUGUUUGUUAGUAAUUCAUUAAGAGUAAAAAAAGAUUUUUCAUUAAAGAGAAAAUAAAAGUUGACAUAUAACUAAAAAUAAUUUUAUCUGAUCCAACUAAAUAGGAAAUACCGAAAAAGAUGAAAAACUUAUAUUUCAAGAAAUUCAUUUUUCAUUUCUUUCUAUUUUGGCGGCAUGAAAGUCCUAAAAACCCUAAAUAUUAGUACUAAAAAUAUCAUAAUUUUUUUAUUCAUAUAAGUAUACUCUCUAAUUGCACUGUAAAAUGGGUUGGUUGAGUUGAAGAUAAAGAGAUAUUCAGCACAUACAAGCACAUAAAAUUUAGUGGUAUUUUUGAGUUUUUAAUUACAGUUUGUUCAUUCUGACAAUUAUUCAAUAUGUAUAUCAAAUUAUAUCAUCGUUGAUUUCAUUUACAAAAAAGUUAAUGAAUUUUGCAUAUUUUGUAGUGUUAUUUAAUUGUGUAAUUUUUUUUAAUAUAGUUAGUAUUACUUUAAUGAAAAAUCUUAUUUUGCCCUCAAUAAAUUACUAGUUAACGGUUUUGCACUAAUGGUGAGUUAACAGAAGGAUAUUUUAGGCUAUUAUUUAAAAAGUAUGGAUGAAAUAAGCUAUUGCAUGAAAUCCUAUGGAUGAAAAAUGCUUUUUCCCAUUAGAUUAAAUUAUAUUAUAUUAGAUUAUCUAGUAUUGUCUUUUGUUUGGUAUAAUAUUGAAUAAGACUAUGUUAAGUUUAAUUUAAUAAAAUAUGGCACAUUGACUUGAUUCAACAGGAUGAUAAUUUGUUCUUUGAUAAAGGAUGGCCAGUAUUUCUGAGAGACAAUUUUAUAGAAUGUGGUGACCUUUUGGUUUUCAGAUAUGAUGGUGAGUUGCAUUUCACCGUGCAAAUAUUUGAUCAGAGUGGAUGUGAGAAGGAAGCUGCAUUUAAUUCGAAGUCCACCAGUACGGGACAAAAGAGAGAAAGAGAGGAGGCGGUUGCCCAUUCAGACAAAGCUCUUCAAAGUUUGUUGAAGAAAAUUAGAGAAUGCUCCUCUUCUUUUGAAUCGGAUUGUAUAGAUGAUAACCGGGACCGGGAAGCAGAUUCCUGUGAGGAAACAAGGAGGUGUCUCAGUCUAUCUACGAUCUUCGCAUCGCCUUCUCAACCGAAAACUUGCAACAUAAAGCCAGGUAACAAUUCCAACCUUGCGUUGAUUUUGAAGACAAUCUGUUUCUUGGUUGAACAAUUUCCUAGAUAUUGAGCAUUUCUGUUGCUUUUUACCCUUUUCUGAGUCCUCCGGUCGUUUGAAGAAACUGGAAAUAGAAUUAUAGAAAUUGGACUCAUGGACUGUGCUCGUUUCUGCAUAAUAUUCUAGUAUAUAAGCACGUCCACAAUGAAGUACUAAUUGUAAUCCAAAUUUUCUUCUUGUAAACAGGAGUUUUUAACAUCAAUAUCUUUAUUAAUCAAAAUUUCAGAAUUGUGAGAGAUUUCUUGUUUUUACAGUCUGCUGUACCGUACAUCCGCCUUGGCCGUACAGCAGGAAAAAGAUGAAAAACUUAUAUUUCAAGAAAUUCAUUUUUCAUUUCUUUCUAUUUUGGCGGCAUGAAAGUCCUAAAAACCCUAAAUAUUAGUACUAAAAAUAUCAUAAUUUUUUUAUUCAUAUAAGUAUACUCUCUAAUUGCACUGUAAAAUGGGUUGGUUGAGUUGAAGAUAAAGAGAUAUUCAGCACAUACAAGCACAUAAAAUUUAGUGGUAUUUUUGAGUUUUUAAUUACAGUUUGUUCAUUCUGACAAUUAUUCAAUAUGUAUAUCAAAUUAUAUCAUCGUUGAUUUCAUUUACAAAAAAGUUAAUGAAUUUUGCAUAUUUUGUAGUGUUAUUUAAUUGUGUAAUUUUUUUUAAUAUAGUUAGUAUUACUUUAAUGAAAAAUCUUAUUUUGCCCUCAAUAAAUUACUAGUUAACGGUUUUGCACUAAUGGUGAGUUAACAGAAGGAUAUUUUAGGCUAUUAUUUAAAAAGUAUGGAUGAAAUAAGCUAUUGCAUGAAAUCCUAUGGAUGAAAAAUGCUUUUUCCCAUUAGAUUAAAUUAUAUUAUAUUAGAUUAUCUAGUAUUGUCUUUUGUUUGGUAUAAUAUUGAAUAAGACUAUGUUAAGUUUAAUUUAAUAAAAUUAAAAUAAUUAUUUAAAUAAUAUAUUAUUUUUUAAAUCAUAUUACUAUUUGUUAAAUUUAAUGUUUAGAUUACAAUAUUAUUGUAAUUAAGUAAUCCAAUAAAUUUUUAUGUUUAAUAUAUUAUAUACUAGUUAAAAUAAAUUAUUGAAUAAACUUUUGAUAUUAAUAGCAAAUUUAGACUAUAGAAUAUCUAAUCCUAUCUAAACCCAUGUGAAAAUAGAUAUUAAUAAUCUUAUAAAUGUUGGACUAAAACUUAGAUUAAUUUAUUAAUCAUGACAGCCAAAUAUAACUCUAAAUUGGACUAAUUUUUUUAUCCUUCAAAAUAUAACUCUAAAUUGGACUAAUUUUUUUAUCCUUCAAAUUAGUGUAAUCCCACCUUUUAUACAACAUCCGAAAAUAGCCUCAUUAGUCAUAGGUCACACAGAUUAUAUGUUGGGUCAUGGGUGUGCAAGAUUUUACGUCUAAAUUAAAGAAUAUAUUUAUAUUCAGAAAAAAUCAUCCCACUUUCUCCAAAAAAGAGAAAAAAUCAUACCACCAGAAAAUAAUAAUAAUAAAAAAAAAUUGACCAUCAGAGCUUAAGAACAUUGAGGUCGGUGAGCUAGGAGGCGCACAAUUCAGCAAUUCCAUGCGCUUACUCAUCAAAGUCAAAGCGCAACUAAGAAAGUAAUGUUCAUUAAUUAAUUUUAUUUUGCAGAAAGCAGGUGUAGAUAUUUGGCUCCAUCUGCCUGCCCUUACUGAAGACAGCAUAGCCAGCCAAAAAAUCCAAGUUAACAAGUUGGUUGCACUUGCACACUUGGUGAUCAUCGAGUCUCUGCUCCCGCUGACAUUCUUAGAAAACUGGAAUUUCGAAUUCAUACGCAUUCACCAGACCAGAUUCUUCUACCGAAUUAAAAAUUACCUAAUCUAAAAAACUUUUUCUUUUUUCUUUUGUCCUGAAGAUAACAAUAAAAUGGAGAACUGUUCGGGUUAGCCCCUAAUGCAUGCCAUCUAAACAGCAAUCCACUUGAAAAAUCAAGAUCGAUGCAGAAAAACUCUCCUUUUAGUCUAAUUUGUUCUUCCACUGAUGCGAAGGAUUUACAAAACCAAACAUGCACGAACAAACAAACAAACCCUAAAACAGAGACACAACAACUGUGACUAUUGCAAUCCAAGUACUGAAUUUCUUUCUUCUAAUGUUUGUUAUAUGAUGAUCCUAUAAAUUCUCUGUACCUACCAAGCACUGGAUCCUACGACCACAAUCAUGAUAACACCACCAAUAACCGCUGGACCAAAAUCCAAAGAAAUUAAAAAGACAAAAAGGCUUCUCCUUUCCUCCCAUUGAAAUUUGAUAAAGCAAGCAAACACCCCUUUUUUUUUUAAUUUUUAACUUGGAACUUUUCUUACUUCAAGUCCUUCCCAGCUGGCGUGGAAAUGGCAAGACCAGACCAACCAAAGCAAUCUUCACCAACGUCAUUACCACCUUGAUCAUCGCCGUUCAUCAUCUGCCACGUGUUGCAUCCAGAAGCAGCAGCACCACUCCCACCGCCAGUGCAAGCGUAACCGGCUCCAGGGAUAUCCCAACUCCGUGCAGUACCAAAACCAAGCUCCAAUUCUUCAAGACCCGACCCGAUACCAUACCCAUGAUUGUGAAACCCACCAAGUCCAAGAAAAUUCUGGCCUUGAAUUUGCAUAUUCAACAUAGUAGUGUAGCUUCCACUACCGGGGACGCCGACACUAUCGUUCAGGUUCACAUCAGUCAUCGUAAUUAAGCCCAUUUCAGGGUUACCACAAGGCAAAACCGAAACAGGGUUAGCGGGUUCGGCCACACGAUCAUGGAUAACAGCUGAGGAACAAGAUGAAGAAUUGGUGGUGGCAACAACAGCGCCAGAAGAAGACGAAGAGCUAAUGCGGGUGCGCUUGGAGUUCUUGCGAGUGCCACCACCAACGGGGAUGUUGCGGAGAGUCCCACCUUGAGUCCAGUAGCGGCGGCACGACUUGCAGAAGUGACGAGGCUGAGAGAGGUUGUAGUUGUUGUAGUAGCAGAAUUUGGUGCUCGUUGAUUCGCACCUUGGGCACGGCAGUGACUCGGUUACCUUUGGGGGUGGGUAUGUGCUUAUGGGGUUAUGGGCUCGAGCUAGUUUCCGGUCAGUUGAUUCCGAUGGCAUUUUGCGGGGUGUUUUUGAACAAACGAACGUAUAAAUAAUUAAUGUUUAAUUUUGGAAGAAAGUGGUGUGAAUGAGAGUGAAAAGCUUUUUCAGUCUCAAUAGCUUAGCAGAGCUAUAGCUAUAGCGUAUGAGUGAAGACAUACAUAAGUAACUCACUAUAUAAGAGAUAAAAUGGGGCCACGCCAACAACAACUCACAACAAUCCUCGCGGUGAAGAAGGGUUUCUGUACGACGUUUUGUAUUGGCUCGGCUGCGUGGCUAGGCGGCUUGUUUUUUUUUUUUUUUUCCAAAAAAAUUAUAAUUAAUUGUUUUGGUGAUGUGGCCCCGUUUUGUUUAACAGGCAAUUAACUGUGUCGUAUAAUAAAUAAAAGAAAAUUAUAAUUUAUAUACCUUUAGUUUAUUCCAUUAUUAAAAAUAUUACAACAUUUUAAAGGUAUAUUAAUUAUUCACCUUAAAUUGAUAAAAUAUAUCAAUUGACAACCAAACCGUUAGUUGCUGUUUAAGUACGAUGACGUUAGAAGAGUAAUUUAAUCUUUUCAUAUGAUGCAAGUGAUAAUUUAAUGAUAUACAAGUGAUAAAAAGAGAAUCUAAGGAUAUACAAGUGAUAAAAAGAGAAUCUAAGGAUAUACAAGUGAUAAAAAGAGAAUCUAAGGAUAUACAAGUGAUAAAAAGAGAAUCUAAGGAUAUACAAGUGAUAAAAAGAGAAUCUAAGGAUAUACAAGUGAUAAAAAGAGAAUCUAAGGAUAUACAAGUGAUAAAAAGAGAAUCUAAGGAUAUACAAGUGAUAAAAAGAGAAUCUAAGGAUAUACAAGUGAUAAAAAGAGAAUCUAAGGAUAUACAAGUGAUAAAAAGAGAAUCUAAGGAUAUACAAGUGAUAAAAAGAGAAUCUAAGGAUAUACAAGUGAUAAAAAGAGAAUCUAAGGAUAUACAAGUGAUAAAAAGAGAAUCUAAGGGUAUACAAAUGAUAAUUUUUAAGGGUAAAAUUAUCAAUUUACUGUAAUUCCGUUAACUUUCAAACGACAACUAACGGUUUGGUGGUCGACUGAUAUAUUUUGUCAAUUAAUGGUGAACGAUUGAUACACCCUUAAAAUAUUGUAGUAUUUUUAAUAACAAAGUAAAUAUAAAAUAUAUGAAUGAUAAUUUCCCAUAAAUAAAUAAUAUUAUGGUAUGUGAGUAUUUAUUAAAAAUUAUAAUAAAAAUAAUAGAUAUAUCAAAUGUAUUUAUACACUCCGUACUAGUAUUUUAAAAUUUCUCUUGUGUAAAUGUACAAAUCUAACCGGUUGCAGAAGCCAAUUGCUAGUUGCUUCAACAAAGAGUCCUUAAGCAGAGUCUUUAAUAUGCAUACAUACGAAUCAGUAUGUAUGUAAUUUGACUGACAACUAAGAUGAAAGUUAAAGGCUAUAUUAGCUGGGGAUGGAUGAGAUUAAGUCGAGGGCUGGUCAUCAGAUUCAGCCUUUUCUUCUAGAGCUGGCUCAACUCAACCGUCGGAGGUGGGGGAGAGAGAGAGAGAGAGAGAGAGAGUGCGUGAAAUGAAAUUAGGAUUGAAGAGAACCGACAGCAUGAUUGUUGUCGGGCAGCGUGGGAAACAAUAAUUGGGUUUGCCUGCUGCGUUACGAGGCUCAAUGGCUUCCCUACUCCUCUACUCCUUGGCCCUUGCAUAUCAAAGAUUCUCUCAUCAUCUGUCACCGGAUUUUUCGGUUCUGUAAUCUCUGCUCCUCCCUUUGAUUUUGCUCCUCUCUUUUGUCCCCUCUACAUAUGUACGACGUGUAUAUCCAUCCCCUUGUUGUGUUAUUAUUAUAUUUGCCACGAAGAAAACGUUCUCCAAUAGUAUUCAUACAUUAUUUAUACUGGCAACUAAGAAAACGUUCUCAAAUAGUAUUCAUCCGAUUUGAUUUACACAUAAAAAUAACUGUAGCCUUGCACAACGGAACUUCGUACUGAGAGGGAGGGAAUCGAGCAGCUGGCUUCGCCAUGCACUUGUCUUACUCCAAGGAACUGAACAGACGUAGGCGCAGACUCUGGCGCUGUGCUAGCUACGGCGAGAACUUGGACUACUGCUGACAGACAAGACUCGUUUCUGGAAAAUGUGACAACGCGGAACACACGUGUCCAUCACUAAUAGGUUAUUGCCUUAACCAUCCAAGCAGCGGCUCCAGUCCAGCCCACGGUAAGAAUCAGCCCAAGUCAAGAGAGAGAUACACUCACAGGGUCCGAGAUUCUGAUUCUCUCUUCCCUGUCUGCAUCUGUUUCAGGUUUUGACGGUCUUCGUGAGGCUGACUAUAAUCAGAGGGAAAAACCCCCAACCACACACGCCACCCCCCCCCN
Molecule: long non-coding RNA, 44547 nt
Filed under: Citrus sinensis (sweet orange)
Lineage: Eukaryota; Viridiplantae; Streptophyta; Magnoliopsida; Sapindales; Rutaceae
Description: long non-coding RNA (CSIN_LNC001524)
Source: RNAcentral